Molecule: long non-coding RNA, 46696 nt
Filed under: Musa acuminata (dwarf banana)
Lineage: Eukaryota; Viridiplantae; Streptophyta; Magnoliopsida; Zingiberales; Musaceae
Description: long non-coding RNA (MACU_LNC008305)
Source: RNAcentral
UGGGAUAGUAGCAAGAACAAAGCUACCCGCUAUUAGAAUUGGGCUAGCGCCAACAAGCCUGUCCUUGCUUACUUUUAUACUGAUACGGAGACAAUACUUUGACUCACUAGCUCGGUUCUGACUUGACCAAACAAACCUAUCUCUCUGCUCUGCUCGGGGAAAGCAUGAAAUUAAUAUAAGAACACGGAACUCGGGCCAAGCAACUGCUAUGCUACUAUUAGAAUCAAGAUAGGAAUACAGAAAUGAACUACUACUAUGCCACUAUAGGAAUGAGCUACUAAAGUCAGACUAAUAGGUAGGUGGAAGCUAACCCUAUUGUAAUAGAAUAGAUAAGUGAUCAAACUAUUAUAAGAGAAUAGAUAAGUUACAAAACGAAACCAAUUCUAAUAUAAGUCAACUUCAUACCAAAUUGAAUAAUCAAUAAGUAAACUAAGAAUCAUAAUAAGGAGUAAGCGCCCUAAUAGUAGUACGGGGAUGAAAGUCAGGAUAAAGACCAUAAGAUCAGGAAAGGCAGGAGAAAUAUGACGCAGUCUUCCCAAUGAUGGUACCCAGACGGCACCCUUGAAAGAUAUUAUGGGAGGUCGGACGUGUAAAGUGAAGAUUGAUCAUCGGCAACUGACCGCUUUCACUCUAACAUCCUAUUUGCUUGCUUUCCCUCUCACAUCCUAUUUCAUGUGAUGUCUGCUAUGUUUGUCGACCUCUGCAACCGCUGUUGUCAUCGUCUCGAUUUGAUAUGGGGCUGAACGAAAGAAAGUAAGUACCAACUGGUCAACAUUGGUCAACAUUCGCGGUAGGUCAGAAAGCUAAUUGAGGGCAAAACACACACCUAUUAUUCUUUCUUCCCAGCCUAGAUAAUCAAACACUAACAAGGAAUCGAGCACGAAGAUAAAGGUUUGGUUCCUACUUGAAAAUGAAGGUGCUGAAAGCAUUACAAUUGUAACGCCUAGAAAGAAAAAGGGAAGUUUGUACUUUCAUAAGCCGUAGAAUGCCUCAUAUGAGAAAAAGCUUAAUUGAACUCCUGUGUUAUACCUGAAACCAUAGAGCUGCUUCGAGAGGAUAGGCGAGGUUGAAGUCACCAAGCAAGCGGUAAAGACCAUAUAGGAGUUUUAUGCUCACGGAAAGUAUUUAGUUGGCUGGUUCUUUGAUUUAUCCCUUGUGCUCUGUGGGAAUUGAAACCCAUCUUAGCUGUACUAGCCCCUGACCAGUGAAUGAGCCUACACAAAACUAUAUCUAUUCGAGUUAGUUCCACUUAUUAUAUGCAAUCUCGACUCUCCAGCUUAUGGUUGAGAUUUUGUCCUCGGGCGGAGUCCACAUGAGUUCAUUGAGGUGUCUACACAGGAAAGGAAGAAUAACAUCAUCAAUUAGGUAUAUUCCUAAGAAAGUUAGGAUUGCUCCACCUCAGUCGAACGAAAAGAAAAGGAGGUUAUCAGGGAGGUUAGCUUGCUUACAAUAAUAUACCGGUGAAUUGGAAGGGAAGCUAGACUUAAGCGAGGUAGAUACAGUUUUCCAGUUAGGCAAUUAAGCCUUGAAGAAAGCAAGUCAGAUUUGGAUUAAGCAAUGUUAGUUUCCGAGUUAGUGGUUAGGAUGCGUUAGAUCAUACCUUUCUUCUUGAUUCUAUGUUUUAUUAUUGAUCUUAUUAGUUAGCAUCCAGUAUGUUACCAAACCAGGACUACUGAGUUGAGUUCUGUGAUACCGAGAUAUGAUUCUCCAUCCUGUUCGUCCACCUUAGAUGCCCGUUCUGUUACUACUGGAUUGAGUUCUAAUCCCUUGUCUGGGUAACCAAUUCUGUCACUGCUGCCUGUGAACCUGUAUUCACUGACUUUUAUGCUUACUUAUUAGUUGACCUCCUGCCUUGCUUUCUUGCUUGGCGAGUUACUUGGCCCUAUGUGCGCCUUUAAGUAAUAUAUUCCCGAUUAAGAUUCUAUGCUCAUUCCCAUUCCUAUGUGCUGCUUUCAUUCUGUCAUCCCGACCUCCUAGAUCUGGCUUGUUAGUUGAAAACUCAAACUCCUCGGGACCCAGUCUGUCUAUUGUUGUUGAGGUGUUAGCCUUACUUAAAGUAUUAGAUGAUUAGAUAUAAGACUUACUUAAAGCAUUAGAUGAUUAGAUAUAAGACUAAGGCCCCGGCAAGCAUACCCAAGAAGAGUAAAGAAGAAAACGAAAUAGUAGAAGUUCAAUAGUAGAAGAAUGGCUAGUGGAUACGCGGGGUAAGAAGUAGUCCUGAAGUGAGAAUUGAGCUAUUAACUGUCAGAUUGAAACACUGCCCCAACAGACUCCACUCGCCUAGGAAAAAGGAGUCCAACCACUGAAGGAGUGUUACGCGGCAGCCUUAAAGAUAUAGUUUGGAUAUUACAAAUAAUAAUGAGCAGUGAAUCCUAUGCUAUAAUACUAAUACGAGUAAGGCAACUAUAAUGCUAACAUCAGAAAGGAACUCACAACUAGGGUCGAUGUAAUUGAGCAACAACCUUUUUUUCUGUAGCUCCUGGAUCUUCACUCUACUGCUCAAGAGCCUUACUUUUGUUAACUUGGGUCACCAAGCUUAGUAUAACUAUUAGCCUGAACCCCUUGACACUAAGUCUGACUGCCCUAACUCUAAGGUCCUUUCGUGCAUUCUUGCUUGUGCUUGGUCGUUACAAACUCUGGUUUUAGUAAUCAACUCCGUAUUGCCCGCCUCGGCUCAAUUCUUUAUCAUGUGAGAACAAGUAUUAGAAGCAGUUGUUCUAGGUUAGUUCCCAUAUGGAAGAGGUAGACCUAAUAGACAGAGAAGUGAGCCUUGGGAUCAGUAGCUAGAAAAUGCAAGUAAAAGUAGUAAGCCUGAGUUCCCGCAUUAAUCCUUAUUAUUAGGCCCCUAGUCUAGUUACGAUUGAAGGGCUGCUAGUUUCACUAAAGACUUGAAGUCGGUAGUUGUUAUCCUCAUGUGUGGGGGCGCUAUUUCAUACUAAAGCUAUCAAUACAUAAUGCAAGGAGGGAGUUUCAGAGUCAAAGGAAUGUAGCUAAUGAGCGUAUGCCUGAUGGACCCGAGUGCUAGUUUAUAAACGAAGUCAAGUAAUCCUAGUGUCUUGUGUGGGGGAGUGUGUCAGAUUUGAUAUCAGUAGUUCAUUUCUUCGCCUUACUUGUUUGGUAGUGAUAUGUAAGCUUUUGAGCCUGCCCUGAACUCUAUAGCUACGGAUCUAGAUCCUGACUUAAAGGGUUUAGUCCGUGUCACGCCGUUGCUUGUCGGAUUGAGUUCUGCUAUACUAUAGUACCUAGCCGCAAAUAGAAUAAUAGAUCAGUAUCUGAAGAACUGGAACUAAGCCUAAGAGCUAGAGUAAGGAGAUACGAAAUGAGAGACAGGGCAAAGUCACUACUAGCAUUAAAGCAAGGAUUAUAAGACCAACAAUAGAGCCAUACACAAGGGUAGUCAGGAGGAAGGUACAGACUUAUCGACUGGUUAGUAAGAAUAGGAGCUAAGGGAAGCAGCCUGGGGGACAGGAAAGUCAUACUCUGGCGUAUCAAGCAGUAAGAAUGAGAAGAUUAAGUAAAGUAGUAUGGUGGAUCUAUAUUGCAUUAAGACAGAGUACCCAUAUAGAUCACAAGGCUUAAUCACUACUCCAACAAGAUGGAACUAGCAACUAAGGCCUUCACUACCGUUUCUAAGACUUCACUAACUACUGGAAGGAAUGGAACCCUUAUUAGAAUUCGUCAACCACUAGAUCUCUAAGUUGGAAACCUAUAAUUGUGGUCUCUUUAUGAAGUUAAUAGGAGCUGAUCUCUUAAUUACUAUAGGAGUAGCGGAGCCAUAGGUAAGAGGUGGAGAUGUAUAGGGAAGGAAAUCAAGAAAGAAAGAAAUCCGAGGAAGCUAUCUGUAAAGCCUAUAGCUCCCAAUCUGGUGUUGCAAGAAUGGAGUGGCACCGAGGAAACCCGGAAUUGAACACGAAACUUCUCUAGAAGACUUACCACUUGCGCAGCACUAGCAGCUGACGACUGAACCCUCUUAUAUCGUAGCCCACAAAGGGAAAGCAAAGAACUGAUCUCAUUGACUUAACCAUUAACAUCAGGGCUGGAACAAUACUUUUGGAUUACCCGCUUGCUUGAUACCCUAUCCGGACUUACUUGUAUUUCGCCUAACCAGCAAGCUCUGUUCUCAAGUUGUCUAGGAUAAACCUUUCUCUACUAACUACAGUAAAUUAAUCUAUACAAUUCUUGCACUAAAGCUACUUACGUCUGCCUGUCAACUCUCUUCUUUCUCCCAUUUUGCAUCUAGCUGUAUGAUGCUACGUGUUGGACUUACCUCUUUCUCGUAGGCAACUACAGUUCCUCCAUUGAUCUUAAGGAUGACUUUUCUCUUCUCAAUAGAGUAGCUACUACUAUCAUCCUCAUCUUCUCUUGCGUGUAUCCACUGCUCUAGCUGCGGGCAUUGCUUCAGUGUGUAAGUUAGUGCAAUGUUGUUUGAAAAUCUGAAUCCUUCUAUGUAUGCUUGCACAGGCCACGCUGCAUAGAAAGGAGUAGCAUUAACUUCAUCAUCCCAUACAAUCCCUUUUGCGUCUUGCUCUGUCAGCUUCAUCCACGCUUGAGAGUCCUCGGUUGGUUUCUCUGGCAUUAUUCCAAUACAGAAGGGUCUCCACUGCUUUUGAGAAGUAUUCUUUAACUUCAAUUGCAUCCCCCCUUCUUCUUGUAGCUCCUUUACUAGCUGGUUUGUAGUUUGAAGAGGCACAUACGCAAACUCUAGGAGUGAUAGGACCUUCGUUUCCUCUAUAGUUUCUUGCUCUUCUGAACAUAUUUGUUGCACGUUCAUUUGUGCAUUAAAGUGUAUAUAUUCAUGCGGGAAGAUUCUGCUCAUAGGCACCUUGCAAGCUACAGUGAGUUUCAUGCUUUGUUUUCUUUUUGUGGUUAGUGUCGCUCUGUCUCCCUGUUCGAUAUGCCUCUCCACAUCACCUAGUCCGAAUACGUUCCAUUGCUGAUGUGUCCUUGGUAGUGGUUUGAAGUUUCUUAGCCGCAUGCAUAUAUCUGCUUCCUCUUCAUUAUAUGCAAUAGGGACGUUUUUGGCCUGAUCCCAUCGUACUCCCAUCUGUUUUAACCUCCUUUGUAUACAUCCCCAUAGAGUCGCAAUUACCCUUUCUGCCUUUCACGCGGGUACCUUAGUAGUGAAGCAUAACCUCAUAAACCUUUCAUUGAAUGGUCCUUUUUCCCUAAUGCUUCUUGGUGGAUAAUUCAUGAUGGUAACAACUGCGACAUUUCUUUUCUUACAAUACCCUAGCCCUACCAGAACUAGUAUUUCGUACCUGAAAUUACUAUAAGGGCCCUAACAAGCUAGUAAGUCAACCUCGGCUCCUCUAACUCAAUGUCUUUUCUACCUGAAUUAGGCUAAUCUUUCUCUGGCAACUCAUCUCCCUAUCCUAUGAUCAACCAUCUAGUAUUCAUAGAGUGGACUUCCUGCAAUAGCACAUUUAGUAAGAUAGAAUAAUAGAGUGAGACUGUCUACAUCUCCCAACUCCCUCUCCUGAUACCGAGUCAACUAAUACUGUUAUUGCAACUUACUAUAAGGCCCACUACCUGGACUACCUGGACUACCGGCCCAGCCACUACUAUAUAAAGUCAAGAAUAAUGGAAUGAUUUGGAAGACAUAGCUCGGAAACAACUCUCACUCCUCAAAGUGGAACAGAAACAACCAAUAAGAGCUGCUGCUGUCAACUAGAAACCUGCUGUCAACUAUGCACUUCCUUUGUUAGGUAUGGAAGGGAGUCUCAUAUUCUUUGCUUAGAUACUCGGAUGGCUGCGGGGUAAUAGUAAGGUUCAGUUCAGGCGUUUCACCCAGGCGUUUCACCCAGGAAUUGAUUAUCGAGCACCUGACAUAGAAACUAGUAAGGACCCAGCUCCAUCUUUUUGACCGGUUUCCAUACUAUACUAUACUAUACUUGCUUCCUUUCUCUGGCAUCUGAUCUCUAAGAUCCCACUCUAACAGAAACAGACAGACAAUCUCUGGCAAUUCACCCGCUUACUGCUAAACGGUUAACUUUAAGGCAAAGCACUGCGGUAAAUCCUCUAGCUUAUGGAAUGGAAACAAUCUUUCCUAAUGCGCCAAGGAAAGUCGUAAUGGAAUCUAUAUCUUGCUUGAGCACCACUAAUAGAACUCUGUAAUCCAACUGCUUCCUCCAGAGCUAAAGCCUCUUCUAAAGUGCCUAUCCGAAUUCAACUCGUUAGGUGGUCAAGUCAGAAUUAAGGUAUUGUUGCCUAGGAGCUUGGCCCAGAGAGUGAGUUUUGGAAUCUUCCUGCUGUGACUAAAAUGCAAUAGGCAGAUGAUAGUACCAGAGGAGAGUACUAGGGUUGGUCUUAAAGGAACACUACAGUAUUAAGGGCGGCAGGUUAGCUAUGUUUCAGUUCAGGCACAGACUCAGUGUCCGUAUCAGCAUCUGGCGCUAUAUAGGUUGGUUGGUGCUUGGCUCGGUUUAUGUUAAGGGUAGUUGAGUUUACAUACUUGUAUUGGUCUAUUAGGGGUUGAGUUGUUUUGUUUACUGACUUUGUGGGGUAGGCUUCAGUGCUUUUGUUUACUUACUAGCUUGUUUGGGUUUGGGUAGUUCCAGAGAGUACUUGCUUUGAGGCUCGGUUACUGACUUAGUUGACUUACUUGCUUUUUGAACUUAUUAUUUAGGGCUUUGUUGCGCAAGAGAAGAGGAUAGUUCUAGCAGGUAUAUAAGUGGCACUCGCUUAAGGAGCCCUGGACCGGUUAGUAUCAUAUUAAGAAUGAACCUAAGUGGUCAAAGAAUUCAACCAGGUAGUCAAAGAGUUAAUAUAGUUACCCCGUAAUUCCGUAUCUAGGGCAACAACUUAUUAUAAUUCGUGAAAGUGGGAAUUCAACUCACAAGUCGGAGUUAAAGAAAUCCACUCGAAAGUAGUAAGUAGAAGACUCAGAGACAAACUAAUAAGUACUGAAGUCAAGAAUUCCACCACAGUAUACACAUAGUAGGGGAAAAUAUAUAUCACUUUAUUAAGGAAACUAGAUUCCACUCAGCGGUGGGUAAGAAUUCUACUCUUAAGUAGGAGCCAAGCAGAUGCAAGCGGUAAGGGAGUUCAUUCAGCAAGUAAGAAGGGCGAGCUACUAUAGAGGAUCCAAUGAAGCAAGUCAGAGUUGCACUCAGUAGUCAAAGCACCCGAAACAAGACUGGAAGUGAAGAAGUUCAGAGCAGAUAUAAUAAGUGGCACAGGAACUGGUUCUUCUCCGGCUCCAACUCAUGAUACUUAUACUCAUACUUGUACCUGAUCCGUAUUCUGCUCGAACCGGGGCUCCUGAAUUUGGCACAUAAAGUGUUUUGUUUGUUAUCUGACUUUCGACCAAGCUUAAUAUAAUGACCAAGCCGACCGCCAAGACACUACUAAUGUGUCGCGGCAGCCUAUAAUAGUUAUAGAAAGUUAUAAACAAAUCCUUAGUUCGGCGGCAGCAGCAGCAUAGAUAUAUUAUAUAUAGUCAUAACAAUUCCUUCCUUUGAGUCCACCAAGGAACUGCUAAUGACCAAGCCGACAAGCAACGUAGCUAGUAGUUGUGCGUCAGUCCGGAGAGUAAUAACGAGUUAUGUAGAGUUAUUACCAAGUCCUGUGUUCUGGGCGGUAGGAGUGAAACGGUAGCGAGCUAAAAACGGGAGCUAAAGAAUAUAAGUAAGCAUCAAGGGAAUGAAAUAAACAAGUAAAGAUCAAAGCCAGGAUAGUGAGAGUUGGAGUCAAUGGAGGUGGGCUCAUACAAACAGGUAAGACUCGGAGGUGAACGUAGGCAUUUUAGUAGGGAGGUUGGUUUAGGACUAUUACAACUUGGGUUUCUUCUUUAUCUCAUGGAUUCCUUAAGACAGGAGUUUCACUCUUGUUUACCGCCUCCACUGUCUUAGAGCUAGAGCUCGUCAUCAAAGAAAGCAAAUACCUAGUAAGGGUUUGGAAGCGAGUAGGGGCAGAUUAGGAGAAAGUCAGGGUAGCCUUGGGAGCCGAAGACAUCUUAUUGGGCUAAGCGUAUACAUUUGAGUGGAAUGAAGACCUUUCUGUGCGGUUGAAUGAAGACCUUUCUGUGACUAAUUGUUACUAUGGGGAGGUUACCUGCUUCUACUGCUUCUAUCAUACCUAGUGCUGCUUCUACUGCUUCUAUCAUACCUAGUGCUAGUGGGGAACUCACUCUAAUUAUUCUGUUUCUUAUACUGACCUAUACAGCUUAGCUCCCUAACUCUAGGCAAAGGUCAAGUCAAUAACUUCAGCAGUUCGGUAUCUCGAUGUUGGUGGUGCAAGCGGGCCUAGGCCAGUUCCAGUUGUUGGCGAAAGUAAGUCAGCUACAAAUGGUUCUAAGAGUCGAGUUCGGUCAGAAGAUAGUCGUUGGGGAGAAGAGAGAUUCAGGUUUCAAGUGUGUGUGUCUAAGGUUAGGUGCCUAUCCUCUAUAAUGGGUGCGCCUAUGAGCUCUCAAGAAAAGUGUUGUUGUCGACUCGUCCGAGCUCCUGCCGCUACGCAUUAGUAUAUACUUGGCAGAAUGGAACUUAGCCCCCUCUGCUGACAACUUAACCGUUGAGUGGACAGUUGAGAACUUGGAUUCGGCUUCGACUGAUGAUACUGCUGAUCCAACUUAUGCUUAUGUAAACUCAUAGUCUGUAAGCUAACGCCUGGAAUGGAAUAUCUAUCUUACUUUGAUUACCGAAAUCAAUACUUUAUUGCUUAUUUCUAUGGUUCCGCUUCUGUCUACGGCCUUUACUUAAUUGCCUUGAGACUCAACCUGUGCAUCAAAAGGAAUUGAUGAUACUGUUUCGAGCGCUGAAGAUCUUCUUGCUUCGAGCUCUCCCGUUGGCAGAAUGAGAUUGAAAUUGAACAGCAUUGCAUGUCAUAUAUAUAAGAGGAAUAGAGCAGUCAAAGUAGUAGAGAGAAUAGGAAUGAGUUGAAUCGUAUAUGGAUGCUGUGUCAAAGUUAGCAGUUUUAGCAGUUGAAACAGAAUCAAUAGUUCGAAAACCAACUGCAAGAGGUUAUGCAAGUGUAUGUUGAUUACUAGAAGAUAAGAAUGGAAUUGACUACCGACGCAGUAAAGAAAGAGCAGAAGCUGUUGUUAGUGAAUGUUCCAUCUGUAUGCUUGUCACGCUCUGCUUGUCCCGGAGAUAUUUGUAGUAGCCGGGGAGUCAAAGAAUAGAUUGAGUCAGCUACCCCAGAAAGGAAAGGAAUGGAAGCAGUGCCAAGCCGAUAAGAUGAAAAAGAAAGAGUGGGAACAGGCAACUACAACUACCUGUAUAUUGACUACCCAUUUACUAUAUCGCUAUUGGGAGUACCUAUUGCUUAUAACCGUUAGCUUGGCCCUGUUACUGUUCCUGUUCGAAAGUCAAGAGUGAGAGUUAGUUCUAGUCGGGUGCUCAAACAUGAGAUUAGAGGUCAGGUGCUCAAACAUUAGAUUAGAGGUCGGGGUUCCUAUUGCCUCGUUAAGGGGUCGGCUUGGGUCAUUCCAAUUGACUAGCUAACCUGUAGUUACACAUCAUACAUGUCUUGGCGGGUAGGCUUAUGUUUCUCACCUUGGAAAACAAGAAAAGAGAAAUCACAAAUAAAUAAGAAAAGUCGACAUCAUUUUCUUAUACAUACUCAGUAGGGAACUUAUACAUACUCAGUAGGGAAAUAGUAGGGACUCAGUACACAAACAGUAGCUUUAAACAUAUAUUGUAAUAACUUCGUUAUAACUGUUUAUUGGCUGCCGCGUAACAUUAGUAGUUACUUGGCCACUGCCGCUACACUGACGUAGUUACUUGUCCCGUACUAUAUGAUAUAUUCUCUUUAUAUAUGAAACCAGAAUCAACCCUAACUCUCACAGGAGCAGGCUUUCAGCACCUUACUUUGUUCACCAGGAGACUUAUAUAUUCCCUUGAAGCACCUUACUUUCGGUAGUCAAGGGAAGCAGUUCCGUCAGAAGGAGAGAAGGGAUGCAGUUAAGUAUCAUGGUAGCAAAGGGUCGGGGCAGACUUGAAGUCACUUUCGAGGAGAGGUGGGUUCGGUUCGGGGUUAACUCAUCGGUAAGAACCAAGACACCAAUAUUGGAAUCAAAGAAAUUCGAAAUAUGAAAUAAAGCAGAAAAGUCGUUCGAUUUAAACGAUACCGAAUAAGUAGACAAACAGUAACAAAAAAGCACUAUCCAAAUCUCUCUUCUUAAUAUAGGAAACCGGAAUCAACAAAUAAGUAAGCAAAAGGGAAGCCCUAACCCGAAGUCAGGAGUCAGCGUUACUAGGAAGUCUUUUACUAGUUAUGAGUUAGAAGUAAGGAGUGAGUUAUGAGUAAGUCAGGAGUAAGCCCACCGAUUGACCGAAGUCAGGAGUAAGGAGUCCGGUUGGUUCCACACUUCCAUUAGUUGUAGUUGUCAGUUCAAUGAAAUAAGUAUAAUCAUAAUAAACAAUAACAAGGUAUCCCGAAAGUCAUAGGUCGGCAGGCAGGAAAGAAAGAAAGUCAGGGUUGGUUUACUGCUUGCAUCCUUUAGUUAAGGGCGCAUUAGUGGUAUUAGCAACAGGGGUUAUAAAGUGCUAACAGAGAAGGGAGUUCAUGUUUUACUCAGCGCAUUAGUCCGGGUUGGGUUCCUUACUUCUAUCUAUACUAGGCUGGGUGCUAAAGAUACUUAAUCUAAUGCAGAAAAACAUCAAUUUCACCAACUUCCUAAUACUUAGAGUUCAAAAAACAGUAAUUGAGUCUCCAUCUUUUACAUAUAAGUUCUUAAUUGCCCCAACGUUAGCUGAAUCAAUCGAGUCGAGCGCAGAGCUAUCAUAGCAUCUAAGUUCUUUUUAUUACCCCACUGGAUUCUAAUUAAUCCCUAAGAAAUCCAUUCUUUAUUCUGAUUCACCCCUUUCCUAAAUCUAUGUCAUCUCGUAAUACAGGCUUCAAUCUAUCUCGUAAUACAGGCUACCUUUUGCUUCCUUACUAGCAGGAUCCGGAUUGCAUCUUCCAACUUGUUGUUCCGUUGCAUGUUCAUCUUCUUGCAGGAAAAUCUCUUAGCUAUGAAGCUUAACCAGAAGAUGGAAUUGCAGGAUCAGAUUUGGGUCUCUAAGGAAUAUUUAGUCUCUUUAUCUCGCAUUCACCUUUCACCUUUCAUUUAAGGAUUCUAAAACAGCUGAUGUCGACUUAACUGAUUCACUUGAAGAACGGAUCAGUUUCAACAGAGGAAGAAGUUCCAGAAUCAGCAGUUAUAUCUUCCGCGCAAGAAACAAGUCCACCUGUUUGUUUUCAUUCUUAUAGAGUUUGUUUGGCAAAGAAAGGAGUUUAUAAGCUUUUAUCGCCCUACUUCCAGUCUGUUCUUUAGCCUAAAUUAUCCUCUUUUGAACUCUUCACUCCAAUAAUCAUAAGUUUGUUUAUUCCCUUAAUUGUGUUUCUUCCAUUAAUAAUAAUAAGAAUAAGUGCGAAGUGAUUACUCAUAACCUUGCCUUGCUUUUUCUAUUGAUUUUGGAUUAAGAACUAGGGCAUCUCAGUAUUAAGUAUUAUAGUAACCUACUUUACUUCUUUUUGAGCUUUGCGUAAGAAAUCCAUUAUUACGGUAAUAAGACUGCUCAACUCCCAAUCACCACUAAUUCAUCCCUGAACCAUAAGCCUUAGCGCCACGAAAGCUCACAUUAGUAGAGAACAGGUUUCGUUCUUUGAAUGGAAUUUAGCAUGCUCAUCUUUACAGCGUCGGUGCUUGUUCUUUCGCAACUUACUAGAAUAGUAUCACCUCACUCUCACCUAACUAACGUACUUGGGCUAACACACCCUGCUCCCCAAAUAAGCUUUUUUUCUCUUGCUUUACUUGUUCGAAAGCUCUUGCGAGACGGGGCGGGGCGAGUGGAGUCGACGAGAUCAGAAUGAUAAUAAGGAUUUGUGCAAAAGGCAUCAAGCGAAGCGGGAACGGGAAGGAAAGGUUUUGUUUUAGUGUUGUCCAGGUGCGAGUAUGGUUGUUAACUUAUAUUAAGAUUGUAGGAAAUUCAAUACGAGCAUUACCUUAUUGCGUUCUUUAACCACGAAGCCGCCUUAAUAAGAAGGGAAAGUCAAGUAUUUGUAGUGGUUUCAUUAAGUUACUCGACUUGUACAGGGCAGCUAUCUAUCAUCGAUAACCAGAAUAGAAUCCAUCUUUCUAGUGGCGAGGAAAAGAGUCAAUUCAGUUUCAUCUCUAUCCCUUUUGUUGAAUGAUUUGCCAUUAGCUCCGUUAUAACCCUAUGUUCAACUUAGAGAAUGGGCUAUUUUACUGCUUUUACUUAGAGUAUAUUAUUAAGGGUAAUAGAGUUCGGGUUAAGAAGGUUGUCUUUUCUUGCUAGAAGAAUUAUAUAAUAAAAGGAUUUAGCUCAGCUUUAAGGUAGAGCUUGUAUAGAAGGACAAUGCAAGCGCUUUGUUGUGCAUUAUAGGGUAGUGGUGCUUUUGUGUCAAUCAAUUCCCGGUCUAUAAAUUGUGUUAAAGUCCUGUUUAUAAGAGUUCUGCUAGAGUCCUCAUUCAGGGUGCUUCUUAAAGUAUAGUAUAGUGAGGGUGCGAAGAAAGUCAGUUUGCCUUAACUCAAACUAAUGGAUUGGAGUGCCGCAGUAGCUCUACGCUCAAGGUGGUUUCGUUCUGUAUAAGGAGUUAUAACCGAAUAAGAAUCAAGAUAAGAUUGAUCCAGUCGAUUGAAAGACCAAUGGAUCACCAUCCACAUGAAGAGACUACAAGGAAGUGCUGCGAUGGGAAAGCACCAGACGAGACCACUGCCUAGUCACUCUCUAUUCCACGUAUUAACGACGACGAAAGAGACAUCGUUGAUCGAAACCAACCUUCUGACUGAACCAGCGUGAUGAACAGAGGCAGGGAACGAUUAAGUGAUGAACUGAUCAUCGAGUGCUUUCUUUAUCCAUUGAAGUGCAAAAAAAGCCCUAAGAUUCCUUUACUUCCCCACACUCCCAAUUCCCCAGAAAGAGAUGAAAUUGAAGGAAGCAUUAAUUUAGAAGCUUGUCGUUUAUAGCCUGUUAACUACUCGGAUAAGAAUUGAACCACACUAAUAAGAAGAAUGAAAUUAGGUAGUAAACAAGUAAGUAGGAGUAGCGGCAUAGCGGUAAGUGUGAGUGAAGGCUUGUUGGCACUGGGUGAAGUCUUGAUAGUUGUAGUUUCAGUCUAAGUAUACAUAGCACCAGUCCUGGGCUACUACUAGUUAGGGCCAAAAAAGGGACUUGUUCAACACUAAGAAAAGUAAUUGCUUGUACCGUUGCGAGUCUAGUAGUCGACUAGCUCCAUCCUAUUCUUAUGUUUCUUACCUUGACCCACUUGUCUAGUCGUUCGUUACUUGGCUCAUUUUCUUCUCAAUCGAAAUUGGGUGCACAAAACUAUAAGGGUAGUGACUUGGCUGAUAGCAAAUAGUUUGAUGCUUACUUGAGAUUAGAUUAGUGGUUACUUGUUGCUACACUGACUUAGUUACUUGGUUAAGUAGUUGGAUGGGAAAAUGACCUAUCAUCUUUUCUUCCCCGUUAAAGAAAUGCAUUUGGAGUGUAUGAAACCAGGUUACCUCUUAGUUGCAUUCUUGGACUGCGGAAUCGCCCAGUUAAAGAAUACCUUCCAAAAGGCUGCCAGCUUGUAAAUGAAGCGAGGGGUCCCGAGUUUACUUGAAUCUUCUAAUAUAAUUAUCAAUGAACAACCAGAUAUCAUAAUUCUCGUGUGCGCCGGUAAAGUCAUUCCUUUCUUGUGGAGAGGCAUGGUAAAUGUUAAGAACCUAAUUAAGAAGUUCGAAAAUGAGUGUUUUUUGCGUACUAGGAUCACCGUCAAUCAGCAGCAGUUUUGUUUUGAUAGGACGACACCGAGGAUAAGAUUAACAGAGAACCAGUCCAAUAAUAAACACUUUUCGCGCAAAGACUCGAUGCUAUACUACUAGGGAAAUCCUGCAGCUGAGAGGUAGCUCACGAAUCUGUCGUAUAAACUGUUCUCUUGCUCUUUGACAACAAGGAGGUCCUCAUAGAUAGACUUAAGGUUGCUAUGGGAUGUAAACACUCUUUUGACGAGGUCAGCAUCGGUAUAGACCUGCUCCCAUGAAUCGAGGCUUUUGAGCUUAGCAAUGAGGUGCUGAUGUCUAUCGGGCAUCUUCUUAUGGAGAUCACUAGCCCGUAUAGAUUCGCUCAUAGUAGAAACUGUAUUAUGGCGCCAUGUGUAAGGAGUGCGGUCCUCCUUCAUUAUGUACUUACAGAUAGUAACCCAUGCCCUAUGGAAAGAGACAUGAAGCAGGGCUCCGUCGAACUCAGGGAAAAGCUUCCGAAAUGUUAUCGGGGCACUAAUCUUAUGUAGGCCUUGAUAAAGUAGAAUACCAACGUUCAAGUGGUGGCCAUGGACGCUGCCCUUGAGCUACAAUGAUACUGAUGCAUUGGGGAAUAGUUUCAGUUAUCCUACUUACGAUGACCGAGGCAGUGAUAGCAGACCUCUCUGGGGUGGCAUCGGCUCUGGAGAGUUUGAGUAGAAUAUAUUUCAUGUAGUUAUGAUGUAGCUUAGAAGGAACGGGAGGUUAGCUUGUAUUCAUGAUAUCGGAAAGAGAAAAUAGAAUGCCAAUGCCUAGAUGGCGGUAAAAGGGGCCAAAUAUACCGAAAAAGAAAAACGAAUAAUUGAUAACCAUUAAUGACUAGUGGAGGAGAUAUAGUAAUCCCUUCGGGUACUUAGCUACUGUUUGCUUAGCUCUGAUACAUACUAUUUCUCUACUCAAAAAUGAUAUCUGUGAUUAUUAUAAGAUGGAAUUUGAAAGUGAAAAGAGACUAGCAUAAGUUCCAGAAAGAAAUCCAGUGCUCUUCUCCGGUCUUAAGUAUAUACUUAUCUGGUUGUUCAUUAUACGUUACUUGUCUAUCCGUGUCUUGGUCACUGAUUUUGUGUCGAUAGCUAAUCCUACAUUUCCUGCCCCGAGUAAGGCUUCUAAUGAAUUUGAUGCCUAUAACACAGGAGUCAAAGAAUAAUGGUAAGCAAUGUGAGACUAAUAGAUAGGAAGCACGGCCUCACUAGUGAAAUACAGAAUGCAAAUCCGGAGUAUAAGCAUGAAAGUCAGUAGUGCCAGGCCAACUUGUGUGUUCAAUUCCUAGUGCAAAGUGUGUUCUGCCCUAUAGCCCCAGCAUAGUGAGUCGAAGAAUUGAAACAAGAUAUACGUAAUGCAACUAAGGAGUUAGGCUCAAACUGGGAGAAACAAUGGAAGGUCUGCUCUUCAUUCUCAUACGUAGAUAUUCUAAUAUAAGUCCCAUUCUUAUUCCGCGUCCGAUGCUCCCCUGUGUGUACUAUCAGUGAGUUUUCUUCCUGAGUUCUAUUGUUUGUGCACGACUCUAUUAAUUGAGACGCAUUUCCUUAUUGUAAGUAAAAGAGUGAGAAGCACUUUGACAAGCCUGUUUGCCGCUAGUCACAUUAUGAGAAGCACCAAUUCCACUCUUAUAGGUAGUAUGUUUCAGUUUAAGAGAAAGUAACGGUAGACCCAAUCCAAGAAGCAAGGAAGCAAGUCAUUUGUUUUAGAGUCAAAGACAGAGGAUAGUUAGAAUCCAGCUAAUAAGUCAAGUAAUGAACUAUAGUGCCUAGAAAACUAUAGCGAGAAAGUCAGAAUAAACCAAGCAAUACUGGAUAUCAGGCAUAGCUCUAAGACAUUAUGGAAAUAGUAAAUACAGAAUUGGACAGUGCUCCGCUAAUCCUUAAUCCUUCCUCGCAUUCUUAUUGUUAGUUAAAGAGUCAACUCCAACCAAGGGCGCAGCUGGAGCUAGAUUCAAUGAAUAAGAUGUAAGUGGCUUCCGAUCCGCUCCUUACGUAACCUAGCCAUUCCCUUACAGAGUUGGUUACUUAUAUUUCUAUUAUACAUGGCUACAGCCUCAUACUAGUGUAUGCUUGUAUACUUGCCUAGUAGCUUGCCUGGUCAAAAUCUCAUAAGCCUAUAGAAAACCCGGACAAGAGUGAAAAGAAGGAGUUAAGAAAGGAGUGAGAAUGAAAUACAGGAGUCCGGAGUGACAGAGCAAGAGGGUACAGAUGGGUAAGGGUAUAAAGAUGUUAGGCUAAAAUGAAAUAGAACAAGGGCUCGCUACCGCGUAAAUAGUAGUUAGUGUUGUGCGUCAGGCUCGUGUUACCCGCGGCGAAACAAGCAAGGUUGCAAAAAGACUCAAGGGAUCCUGCAGAAAGGGGAAGGAUAGGGGUGUAAUAGAAGAAGUAACUAAACCAAACCUAGUGCUACUUCUAGCAAAUCUAACAACUCAAAAGAAAACUCCCCAGAAGAAUAGGCUUUAGCAAAGUAGGAUAUAAGAAGGGAGCAGCUAACUAUGCGCUCUCCACUCUAAAGUCACAAUUGACCUCCAUCUCGGUAAACUAGUGCUGUAUACUCGCAAUAAGGAAUUUCAUAAGAGAACUGUAAGCAGGAAAUAAAGAAUAAAACGGAGAAGGUUCAGAAUCUAAAUAGAGAAUUAAUGCAAUAGGUAGGAAUAGCAGAAUAGCCGCCAAGCAAUGAAAUACGAGUUCCUGUGUUGCUUCGUCGACAACCCAGUCACUCACCAAACCCUGUAUUUUGUAGAGCGAAAGAGAGAGCUCCCAAAAACAGGACUUGGCCUAACAACUAGGCUUGUAGUCGAGUCGCCCCUUAUGCGUUGUUUAACCUAUGGUAAACUUCUCCAAUAAGGAAUCGUACAUUGAGAUACCCGAAAAGCUUUCAAAUGCAUUAAAGUCAAAGAACAUAGACUUCAUAACUAUACCAGCUCCUAAUACGGAUACAGAUGGAUCUUGAAUACUUAGAAAUCACAGAAUUCACUGACGUACCGAGUCCUAAUUUGUUGGGGUUAGUUAGCUCGGUUCUUUUCUUUGUCAGUUCAAUUAUCUUCUUAAAGCAAAGGAGCUCGCACCGCUAACGCUUACUCUUUGGCUCGGGGUUCCGUUCUUAAUGCAAGCAAUGCUGGUUGUUGACUUUCGUCUCUAAGUGGAUAGCCAUAUUCUUUUCUUUCUUCAGUCAUUGUACUUGUUCAAUUCUCUUCUUUUGACUUUCCGGGGGUAGCGCCUAUCCGUACUCUCUCUUUCUUUUGCACUCAAUGCUGUUUUGCCGAUAUGAUAGUUACUGAGCACUCGUGAGCACUGGCCCUACUGCCUAUAUUAGGGUAUAGCAAUCAACAAAAUCCAAAUCUUGCUUGCUUUAGGAGUUAGAGUUAAGGGUUUGUUAGUGAGCUCGGGUGUUUACUAGGUUGUUGUUAUAUACCAUGUCAGUGAUUGGAUUUGCUUUUGCUAUUAAGAGAGAGACUAUCUUUAUUCACUAUUCCGACUAGCCAAGACAAAGGAGACCCUGGAAUAAGGCCACACUGAGCGCUAAGGCUAACUGGAAGACCCAAUAGGAUAAAGCCUGAUGAAUACUUUUCAUCCACGCUAACCACCACAGGCACAAGAGAUGAUAGGCAAUAGUGCGGUUCUUCUUAGUAAGUGACUUUUGUAGCAUAGCAGUCCUUGCCGAUAAAGAAAAGAGUCGUAAGGCCGAUAAAUGGUAAAGGAUUGUAGUCUAGUCCUGUAUAUCAAAGCCAAGUUCAACUCUCACCCCCGAGUAGAAAGACAAAGAUAGGGGAAUCCAUAUCGCCCGGCCCGAGAAAAGGUAGUUUAAUAAAAGGUAGGUGGGAAAGUCGAAUCAUUUAGGUUUGAUAGUGUUUUUGUGGCGAGAUCAUUAUAAGUCUUUUCACUCUUCUUUCUCAGCCGGUGCUAGCUUUUAUGGUGGUCAGCUCUGAGGAAAGCCCCUUUCUUUCUUUAGGAGCGAAAGAGGAUAGAGGAGUUUCAGAAAACAAGAAGAAGCUAAGCUGCUAUUCUCUUGCAGGUCUGGUCUUGAGGGUAGGGCAGUAGGAGUCAAGGCAAUAGGAUCAAUCAAUCAGUACAAUAGGAUCAAUCAAUCAGUAUCAAGAAAGCUCUCUCUAUAAGCAUCGGUAAAGGCUUGAGUCUUGGGCUAGUUUCUUUGGGUGCGAGUGAUGUCGUUUCGUGGAGUUAUUGUGCUUGUUUCACUGACUUAGUAUAUAAGCAAGUCACUUGACACCUAUUCUUCUCGGGUUCGGGGCGCACAUGUCUUUCUUAUUGUGGCUUGUUCGGUUAAGUAGGCAGUAGCUCCUUAAGAGGCCAUCAGUGUUGUCGUAUCCAUUGGGUAUUUCGCCAUAUUGAGAACAGUUCUCGUUGGCUUAUGUUCCAAAUAGAGUAUCUAGUAGCUCUGAGUUAAGUAUAAAGUAAGGGCCGGGAAGGAAGGAAUCUAAGGUAAAGGAAGGAAUCUAAGGUAUUAGCUACUGGGCGUUGACGGGAAAGAAGGAAUCCCAAUCCCAGGUGAAAAGAAAGAGGAAGCCUGUUUGCCAGCUGCUAGAAUACCUCGCACUACCCUUCAUUCUUACUUGCUCCGGCAUCAAAGAUAUAUUCCUCUUAAACACCCGUACCCACAUCUUGAGUUUUAGCACCCGAACUCACUCUAUUCUAUCUUACUAAAUGUGCUAUUGCGGGAAGGAAUCAACUUCACUUCUUUAUUAACCCCGGGCAGCUUACUUACUUUAUACAACAGAACCACUAACUGCAUCCUUUCUUAGAGGAGCCAUAGGUAUAGGAGCAGGAUAAGAGGCAGAAGGAGAGGAGCCUAAUUCCGUUAAUAGUUGACUACGGUAGAGGAGCAAUAGUUCAAAGAAGAGACAGUUCUCGUUAUGGGUGCCCAGCCAGAAGGGGAGAGAGUUAUGAGCUUCAACUGUGUUCGGUGUUUAGUUUGUUCUCUGACUUUCGAUGUCUUCUCGUGUCCCGCUCCUUCCAAUCACUACAAGGGAAGGGUUUUGACAGCCCCGAGUCUAGAGAUGCAAUAAAUUCUUUCACUUAAGGUCGUUUCCGGUGCUUUUUGCCUAAUUCCAGUUACGUUCCCGUGUUGGUGCUGUAGUUCCUUGUCGAGAGAGGUGAUUGCCCUGUCCUGUCCGGGGUAGGAAGUAACGCAAAGGCCAGAAUCUGGAACUAAUAAUGUAUGAAAAUCUGGAACUACAUAAUGUAUUAAUUGGUUGCUAUGCACGAGUGCUGUGUUCGCCUGUCCGGGGAUUCGCGCCUAUGUGUUCAGUAGGGAACUAAGGGAUUCUAGCUUGGCACUUACUACGUUGCUUGGCUGUCUCUUUACUAAUCUUUAUACUAUAAUAAUCAAGAUGAGAAUUGGAAUCAAAGUGGGAAUAAAAGAAUCUAGUACCGGUUCGCAAGUAAGCAGCAACAAUCGAUUAUAAAAGUAGAAUGCCAGCGGCAGUAGCCCCAGUAAGGAACUAAAGUAGUUUACAGAGGUCUCGAUUCUAAGCCUGGAUUCCAGAUGGUACCACCUCGAAGUUACAGGGAUCUGCACUAUUGUCUUCUUCACUCUUGUCCCUCUGAUUUCUCUUAGCCUUGUUCAGGAAUGACUCUAACCGCUUAAUCCUUUUGAUGGGUAUUCGGUCAUGAAAGAAUCAUUUUUUGCACUUCAUCACAAUGACACAUGUGAUCUUGUUCCUAGAGACCAGGAGAUGCCUCUUCCUGCUUUGAAGUGGGUGUUCCAAGCUAAAGGCGGAUGAGUCGGUGGGAACUUAGCAAGACUAGUUGCAAAACAAAAGGCUACAACCAAAAGGAAGUGAUUUCGAUGAAACCUUGAGUACCCGACCCUCUUAUUAAGCCUAAAACCAACUAUUCCUUCUUGCGUUGGCUCUUAUGAACAAGUGGUCUGUAAGACAGCUAGAUGUCAAAAAGAUCUUUUCUGCAUUGUUAUCUUCCGUUAAGGAGAGAGUUUUCAUGGAGCAACCUACGAGCAACCAACACGGGUUUUGUAAGCACUGAUCAUCCGGAAAUAUGCCUGUGUUUUUAAGCCUUACUCAAUUCUUCUGUGAUCAGCAACUUGGAUUCGAAAAAGAAGGAAAGAACAAUAGAAGAGAAAGCGAAAGCUGGCCAAGCUAGAGAAAGCAAAGUCAAUAUGGCUAUUAUGAGCGUUUAACAUGCAUUCCAUUCCACUCCGCAAAUGGCUAAUCACCUCUGUAUGCUGUUCUAAUGCAUUUUGGCUUUAUAACAUGACCCGGUCUAAACCGCCUUUCUAGUUGUACAGGGGGUUCUUGACUCUGACUUCCCGGUCUAAACCGCCUUUCUAGUUGUACAGGGGGUUCUUGACUCUUACUUAUAUGCAUAUCGGCACCUAAAUAGAAGUCGUUUUGAUUUCCCAGUAGCUCCUUGCCUUGCCUUAACCGAUAAUGCGUGGAAGGAGUCGGAAUGCAGCUCGUUGCUUUGCUUCACUUCAAGCUGUUAGUAAUAUGUACGAAUGUAGUGUUCCGCAGAUAAGACAGGUACAGCAGAUGAGUACAGGUGUAAGAAAGAGGGAAAGGUUCGCUUCAAACCACUCCUUGACCUUGUUUCAAUUAAGAAUCAAUUCUAGUAGUUGCUAGUCGGGUUGAUUCGGCUGCUGCUGUAUAAGAGGAAACUAAACUCGUAGAAUUAGAUACGAGGGAGCGGUCUUCAACUCUUUCUCAAGUGUAGUAGGCCGUAGAGGAGGAUUCAGAUUAAAGGUUUUGUUCGUCCACCUGUUUUCGUUCCUUUCCCUUAGGAGUGAAGUUCCGUGUUCCAGUCGACCGAGAAGAUAAAAAGAAGGAAAGAACAAUGAGAGAAAGAAGAAGGUAUACUUCACUCUUCGUGCUAAACAUGUUCUGAUCCCAACAACCGGGUGUGGUGUCAGUGAUCAGUCCCGCUAGAAUGUAUUUCCUCCCUUUGUUUUAAGGAUUAGCAAUAACACUUGCACGCCAAAGUGGGAAAGUCAAAGAAAAGACGGGAAAGUCAAAGAAAAGACAUGAGAUCCAUUUCAUCAAACCCUUUAUGAAAAUACAAGACAAUUAAGUUAUUGGGCGAAGCACUUCUUCGACUGCCAUCCCAGUCAACGGAAAUGGGACUAACCGCUUCCGUGGGGAUUCCAGAUCAGAGAUUCUUUGCUCCGGAUCCAGACAUGCUUACCUAUGGGUGGCAGGUCCCUAUAUCCUAUCCAGAAGAUAGUCGAAAGAUAGAAUCAAAAGCCCUAUCUUUGAAUACCGGUGAGAGAGUAAGGGAGAGGCCCUCUUCCUGAAUAAAUAAGAAAGAGCCAUCUAUCUCGCCAGUCAAUAUAUGCUCUUAGCCAUCUUUACAAAAUGGAAGUGGAAGAUCAAAAGAAAAGCAAAGCUCCCUGACGCCCAGCAUGUUCCCAAACGACUCCAACUUCAAGGUUGGAUUAAGACUAAUCGGGUAUAGGUCCGCCCGAGACUCGUUUCCUUAGAAUGAGUAACUAAUACAAUAUUGCACAAGUAAUCUCCACAACAGGAUCCAGCAAUAAUGCAUGUGUCAGAAUAGCCUUUGAAUCCUUCUUAUCCGCCCCACACAAAGAGAAUAGAAUGCCAUAUUGCAAAGCUCAGACCCGAAACCAACCCUUUAUUGUAGAGCAUUGCCUUAACGUAAUCAGUUGAUCAACUCCACAGAGGCAUAAGAUUAUUGCUGAUUUCUGGGAUCCUUAUUGAUUGCUUGCUACGUGUCUUCAGAAGAUUGAUUAGACAACGGAACGAAAGCCAUUUCAUGCUUACUAGAGCCGCUCAUCUUUGAGCUAAAGAAUAUGAGUUAGGUCCAACACCGACCAAGACUAUAGUUGUCCCGAAACAAGAGAGGUUAAUUCAUUUCUUAUUGCACGAGUAGCGCUAUGCAACAAGGGACUAAUUGGGGGCAUUGAAGAAUGAUCGGCAAAUAGCACUCCUCACUCUAUUGUCAAUUCUUAAACAAACAGCUCACUCCUCUUACGAGCCAAUAGCAUAUCCUCUUACGAGCCACUCCUCUAUGAUGAACUAAGAAAUGAGAGUCUUAAAGAAAUGAGAGUAUUCUAUUAUGAGUCUUCUAUGUAAGUAUUACAGAAAUAUGAGUCUUCUAUGUAAGUAUUACAGAAAUGAGAGUAUAACUUCUAUUAUUAGUAUUAUCUUAUUAGAAAAAGCUAUUGAUGCCUGAAAAGGACUGAUGCUUCUAGUUGAUUUGAUGCCGGGUACUGAUCCCCAUAAAGAGAAUUCUAUCUUGAGAUGUACCGUCCGGGAUGGUGCGCGUAGGGAAGGUGAUGCAAGUUAAGGUGAUUGAUUGCUUUUCCAAAAGGCUCUGACAGAGGUGCAAGGGAUGUGGGAGGAUUUGCUAAUGCGCGCGCGUUGACUAUCGAUCGGUUCUAAUGCGUUGACUAUCGGUUCUAAUGCUUACUAUCGGGGGCUCUUAGAUAUGGUUCUCGAAUAGGAAGAGAGAGCGGGAGGGUACAGUCCCAUACAAGAGAAAUACAUAUUGAUGAUUUGGUAUUGAUAGGCUGGAGAGGAUUCGUUUGCCUCUGCUCCUGCAAGAAAGUAAUAAUAUAGAUAUCGAACGUAAGCUGGCCGCUGGUUAAUUCCCCUAAAGGUAUAAAGCUGAGGAUUAGUGUGUUCACUGGUUAUGGAGAAAGAAAAGAGCAGUGCUGGUGUUAACAAGAUAUUAUAUGGGACGGGCUCAACGGAUUAUGGGACAAGAACGGAGCUAACCUUGCUUGCUCCUGUCCAUGCAUUUGGAUUCGCACCUGGAAGUGGGACUGAAGCUCUGCCUCCCCCGCCUUGACUUGAACUUGGACUCCUAUUGCCCUUGUAGCGUUGGUGAAAUGGUAGCUUAUAGCUCUGCCCUUCCUUUUCCAAAACAACGAAAGAACCAAUUCAAUUAGCUCGUUAAGAAGAAAAUGAACUACCUAUAAGAAUGAAGCAAAGCAGUCAGGGACAGUGGGGGUAGUAGGUUAGGCGCAAACAUAGCCCAUUGAUCAAAAGAGCCCGAGGAUUAGCGGGCCUCUUCGUUGCGCAUGGAGUACAGCUUCAUAAGAUUCUCAAAUAAGGUCUUUCUUUCCCCUUUUGCCUACCUCGGCCGGUCCCGUACGAAUGCGUCUAACAUUGUUUCGCGUCUCAGUCUGCCUUCGUAUCAUAUGUAGUAUUAUAUGUAUCCGCAAUCAAGCUAUUUUCUCAUAACGCGGGGCGGUCGGUCAGUUGUCACUAUAUUUCCGAGAUAUAAACAGCACUACAGUAGGGUGCCAUAUUAACUCCAAUCUAGGAAGUAAGUUAAGACACCGGGUCAUAUAAAAAAGGAGGGGGGAAAUAAUCUGCCUUCCUUCGCCACUUAUCUUUACUCAUACUUAUAGUUCAUGCUUUAGCUUAAAGCGUAAGAGGAUGGAUGUGAGUCGAUAAGUUUUUCACUAGAUUCCAUGUAUUCUAUAAUGCUAUAUAUGGUGUCUUGGCCAAUCUACUAUCUCGAGCUGUUAUAGGUUUUUUCUUGAUAGUUAGUAAUUUCCUGUCUACUUCUUAAUUCAUUGGACGAGAGAGAACAGUGUGCUCGACUGUGGUUGUGGAGUAGUGGGUCUAAGCAUUAAAGUUCAGUGUCGGCAUAAGCAGUUUCAAGAGAGAGUUCAGCAAAAGCAAAAGAUAAGGGAAGAGUUUAUUUACUUAGAUCUAUAUCGGGUGCAAAAGAUAUUCCAUUUCAUGAUUCAUACGACAAGGCCUAGCCGGAUUCCGUGGCUAAAAGAGUGACACUCAACUGGUUCUCUCGGUUGGUUAGGCAAGGGAGACUGUGACUAGUGCUUCUAAUAUUCGAACUAAAAACGGGUGACCAAACUACUGAAAACAACCUUCCAUUUGACUCUUCAACUAUGAACUAAAAGAACCGAAUCCUCCCCACUGCAACUAGGCCUCACUGCCCUUACUCUAAUUCUAUCACUGCUGAUCCGGCCAAUGAUAACUAGAAUUGAGCAAAGGCAUAUGAUACUGUCCUCCCGGGGUAAUAAUAGAACCCCUUAGAAUAAGGAAUAAGGGUUGCAGGGUGUAGAACCAAACAGUAUUAGUAUCAUUCGGGUACGAUGUAGCACAUACCAAUAAAGAACUUCAGUAAUGUCAAUCAGAAUCAAACAAGCAACUAGGGCUUCACUACCGGGGGGUUAUCUUACUCUUACUGUCUAUGCGCCUCACGCUACUGCCUUUCAUCCUAUAAAUAACGUAUAGCUCUAAGACUAGUUGAUUUCCUAUUUCUUAGUGAAAGUAGCAUUGAUGCCAUUUCUAUUCCGUUUUCAAGUCAGAGUAAGAAGAGGGUUGACUCCCUAAGCCGAACAGCAGCUACAAAAACCCCUUUCUUUGUACUAGAAAGGUACGACUCAUAAGGGGUGAAAGCGAAUCCAAAAUAGAAGGGUCGAAACAAGGUUAGAUAGCGUGCCAGCUGCAACGAGGGUAUUGUCGUAUAUAGAAAUAGGAAGCUAUUGUCCUAGAUAGAACUUUGCUGGGAGAAAGCCUUCGAAAGGAUGUAGAAAUACCAGCUCAGAAGGAAGGAAGAUGGCUCAUAUGAACAAUCCUAUGGAAGGGAAGCCGAAGAAGUCCAAUUUCUUAAUGUAUUAUAAACACUCUCCAGAGCGGAUGCAACCAAGGAGAGAGCUGCCAUCAGCAGAGAAGAAAUCGCGAGAAGGAUUGCGGAGCUCCUAGUGUGUGCAAGCAUCGUAGUUACUUGGCCGGGAUGAAACUCUCAAUCAACUCUCACUCUCACUCUCAAACACCGGGUUAAAGAGACUCUAAACCAGAAACGAGUCCUGUUAUCGGGGCGGAAAGUGUUGUUUGAAAGGAAGGCCAUAAUCCAGGUUUGGAAGCAGUACUUGAGUUUCAAGAUAAAGAGAGGUGCAGCAAGCCGGAGUAGGAGAUCCUAAAAGUAUCCUUACGUCAAUUCUAUACCUAGUGCAAUAGAAUAUAAACUUUUUGGAAUUGAAAACAGAACACAUGAGAUGAGUUUAGUGCGAAGAAAGGAGUAGAGAGCAAAAGAAGGAGUAGGUGAAAACGGAACUCCCUCUGAACUUCAUAUAAUGCAUAUUGUCCUUAUCGCCGUAGCUUGUUUAAUUGAAUCGCAACUUAACGAGAUACUUGACUUUAGACUUCACUUCUAGCAAGCAGGGUAGCCGCGAUUGACUUCUUGUGCUUGCUUGAGCGGGUCAGGUGCUAACGUUCAUUCAUCAAUUCCUUAAUGGUUUAGUUGACACUGUCCCUAACACUUGAAUUCAAUUGAGACUCCCUUAUCCCUGCACCGACAUAAGAAUCUUAAUCUCUCUCUCUCUCUACUAUAACACAAGUCCUUUCUCCGUAGAGUUAUUACCUAACAAGUCACUACUUUAGUUGCUGGGCGGAAAGGGAAACCUGUCAAUCAGGCUCCACAAGGAAAGGGAAACCAGUCCUGUCAAUCAGGCAAAGGUCAAGCAAGCCUAUUACAGAAGCACUAACAAAGGGAAACCAGUCAAGCAGCCAAUAAGCAAGGAAAGGGAAACCUGUCAAUAAACAAAGAAAGUGGAGGUUGGCUAAAUGGAAUUAGUGGAAUUGGUAUCGCGGAACUUCCGGAGUUAAGAUCUUAAAUAGAAUGUCUUGAUCUAUGGCCACUAUAGAACUACCCGCUUCGGUGAGCGGCGAAUUAGUGAGCUGUCUGAGAGAUUGGAGAACCAUAAUUCUCCUUCCGGGUACGGACGCCUGAUUGACUUCUAUUCAAUAAGUCAGUUUUGAGCAAUUGAGGCACGCACAGAACUAGCCAGAAACCUAUUGCAAGAGAUUAAUUAUAACACAUGAUAUUAAUAAGUAAGAUGCACUUUAUUAAGAUCUUUCUUAUUCUCCAAAAUCAGGGGCAAGGCGAUUGAUCGAGAAAGCUCUCUUGUGAUUAUUAGAAUGGAAUAGAGUGAUUUUCUCCGCAUAUGGUUGGUAAAAAGAAGAAGAUUCCACCUCCCCUAUUGAUCAGAAAUCAGAAGUUAUGCUGUAGUACUUGCCUUUGUCGUGAACUAAUGAAAAAACACCGGGCCGCGGAAGAGCAUUCCCUGUUGAGAGUCUCGAGUGAAAUAAUAAGUACCAAAGUAAUGUCAUUCUAAAUAGAGAAUAUCUAUCCCUUUUCGCCCAAGAUCGAUCAUUACUAUUAUUCUGUAACUCUAAGAAAGAGGUAAUUCAAAUCAUAUGAUUGACAUCUAAGAGAAUCACACGAAUUCUUUCUAUCGAUGGAUUAGCUUUGGAACUGAUGCGAAUGAAAGCGCAGAAGGUUUUGUCUGUUCCGAGAGACAACACUGCUACAGGAUUUGAUACUGCAUGAUCUUAUACUUAUGGAACAAUACUGGAAAUCUCGAACUACACUUUAGUACACAUACCUUGCUUCAAAACCAGCCACAUAAGAGGAGUUGACCCUGGCCUGGCUAAGAGGAUUUAGGGUGCGCGCGAAGUACCAUAGUUUAUUGAUGGGCAUGCGCUUUAUUCUUCCUUGUAUACGAGUUCGGUGAGAGACAGCAUCCAACUCCUUCUGCUCUGGAAGUGUAUUUUUGCCUCAUUUGCUAUGGUUCAUGAAGUCCUCUAUGAAAGCUUUCUUAAUCAGAAUCUAUCUAAACUAAAGCUUUAUUAAUAAGAAUCUAUCUGCUCUACACGAAUUCCUAUCGUCAGCUGCUUUUUCUUUCUCAUAGGCUAAAGUAACUUAGAGCAUCAAGGAGAAGUGAGAAAUCUGACAAACCAUUAUCUCCUUCGCAAAGCAAGGAAAGCCUAAAACUACUGUAACGUCCUUCUUCAUGUGCACGUGGAUAUCCUGACUCUUUCUCUGACUAAUGUGCCAUUUGAUCUCGGGAUGGCCUAAAUGGCUUUUUCCUGUUAUACCUCCCCGGUUCCUCAGAUUCGGAUUAGUGCAAAUAGCCUCCGCAUCAAUAGGGAAGUGCUCACCAUGCUAAGCCCGUUUACGCUGCAAAGUCAUUUUACUGAAGACUCUACUAUCUUCAUGCCAAAGAAUCUUUUUUCCACUUCUUCUCAAACCAAACAAGAAAAGCAUAUUCUUGCGGGGAUUCUCGAACAGUAAGAGCGUCGACUGAUGCAUCUAUACUAUUGAGAGAAAGAGAAGAUUGGACUUGUUUGACACUUCGGCGGGUCCUACUACUAUAAGGCUUAUCUACUCCUGGAGGCAAGGGGCCAAGCAACGAGACAAGUGAACUUAGCAACUACUUCUCUAUUUACUACUUGCUGAACACAUGGGUUUGACUACUCCCUUAGCACAGAGGAUUUGUUACUACAGAGUUGUGCCUAAACCCUAACUAUAAGUACAGAGUUGUGCCUAAUAGGGGUGCAGCGUAUGGGUCCCUAAAGGAAGCAGUGUCAACCACUAUAUCUCUCAGUUUCAGCCACUAUAUCUCUCAGUUUCAGCCUGGAAUUUGGGUCUCGCAAUUCUUCUCUUUUUAUGGGAAAGAGAGGGUCUCGCAAUUCUUCUCUUUGAUUUGAUGGGGCUGAUUGGUAAUAGCAACAACUGGCACAUUCCUUUUCUUCGUUCAAAUUCUUCCAUACUUACAUAAUAGAAUACAAUCUGCACUGUUGCCCCCAUCGAGUACUCUCUUUAGGGUGUAGUUAGCAGCAGCGAUAUCUUAUUUGGAGUUAUUUUCCCCUAGUCCACCUCUCUUUGCCUCGAACCUAGCCUUACUGCCUUUGAGUUUGACCUUACUUGUUUGAAACCUUGAGCUAGCGCUACCGAGACCUACUUCCCUGCCCAUUAUUCUGACUCUGACUUUAUUUAAAGCUAUAUUUUACCUAUUAGGCUGACUCUUCUUUCUAUCAAACUUAUACUAGCACCUCGAAUACUCCAACUAACAACAGCGAAUCCCCAGCGGUACCCUCGCAUACUUGAAAUAGAAAUAGGGAAACCAGCUACCACUUAUGAAACUGACUCAGCGAACCAAACCUUACUCGCUAGCCCACCGCUACUGGCUUUAAAGCUGACUUGACUUGUUUACAAACUGGUCUAAUGCCAACAAGGCUUGCUCUCAUAGCGGGGAAUCCAACAUAGCCCACAGAAGAAAGGGAAUCCGAACCCGAGUAGUGACACUCAAUAGUAUAGAGAAGAGAGGACCUACUAAACAAAGAAGCUAGCCUGCCUAUCCUUAUGAAAAGUAUACCGAUCGGGGGGAAUCUAACUGCUAAGCCUAAGGAUGGAAAGUUUGAAUUGAACUCACAAGUAGGAAAGUAGGAAAGUCAGAAUCAAACCCGAAAGUAGUGUCCCGUCCGAAAGAAUUGAACAAGUAAGUGACUGACGCGUAACUCACUCCCUUAACAGACUAGUAUCGGUAGGCUAUCCUGGCAUUCAACUAGUAUCGGUAGGCUAUCCUGGCAUUCAAAAGCUUACUGUUUUAUGGCUGAUGAUCCUUUAUGAUAGGGUUCGAACUCAACUCUAUUCUGUAAUUCCUCCAUGGAAUCCUGCCCGCCGCGCCUGCUCCGAGAUACUUUCCAAGCACAGCUAAUUAUUUAACCAAAGCCAAUAUGACUUGCACGCUUGCUUGGGACUUGUAGAUUAGAGUCCAGCCCAAGUUCCUGCUCGAGUGUGAGUUUGACCCCGGCUUUUUAGUGUAGUUGAGUGCGCCAACCAAUACUUACUGGGGAAAUUCCUUCUCAAGAACCGCUCUUGCCUCUAGUAUUGUUGCCAGAGAAGAUGUGGAUCAGCAGAUGGUAUUGCAAUAAGGCAAGCUUCUACCGCCAGACAAGUAAUAGCGUUGAAUUGAAGAAUAGAAUGUGGAAUUUCCCUUACUGGCCUAUUACUUAUGAAUUGAGUAGCUCAUUAAUGCACUGACUCUUGCCCGAACUACACCUUUCCCACUUGUUCCUUCUCUUUCUUCCACCGAUGAUCCUGAUCUGUAAACUAAGACUGGAAAUGGAACUAUUAACUCUAUACCGUUAGCUCACUUCAUAUUAUCAAAGAGACUUAACUCGAACUGGCGUUAGCUGCAAGUAUGGAGUUCCAGGAUUGCUCACAGUAUAAAGAAGGAGACAGGUUGACUCACAGAUAGACUUUCCCAAAAUCUUUCUCCCGGUACGACAUCUAGGGGAAAUGGAUACUAGUCUGGUCAGGACCAAGAGCAACUCGACUCAAAGGAGAGCUCAAUUACAUCGAUCGACCCUUAUUCUCCUCUCAGUCCACUAGCAAUACACCAGUAAGUAAGUACAGUACGGAUGCUUUGAAUAGCCCUACAAGUCUUAUCUUAGAGCUAGGUAAUGCUAACAACAAUAGAAAAUACUCUCAUCUCAAGUAAUAGCGAAGCCCUAUUCUGCGGAGUUUCCUUUGACACGUAAUAAUAGACAUAAGAUAGAGGGAGAGAUCGAGAUUACAUCCCACCAGGACGAGGUGUUACUAAUUCCCUUGUUUUCAAACCAAUAGGAUAGGGUAAUAAGGAAAAUAGCUCGGUCGGUAUCAUGAGCUCGUCUGUCUAUCUUUUAUAUCAUUAUUGUUGCUAAUGAAGUUAGGGCUUUUGCUAGCUAUUAUAUGAGAAAACGAAAAACCUAUUACUGCGGCGGCGUAGCGAAGCUAUCGGAAGUACUUUCAUAAGCAUCUCUGUCGCUCAAUAGCAAGCCUUCGUUACUACUAUUUAUUGGGGGAACUUCUGCAUAUAAAGAUGCCUCUAUCAAUUCAUUUCAUUUGUUCAUGUUGGGCACUAAGUUAGCAUGAAUGGCUAAAGAGCUCAAUGAAACUUUCCGAUAUGGUCUCGUAAUCAGAGGGCGUCUUCCGAUGCAAGGGAAUGCUAUCUAUCAGACAAUGGAUAGUAUAAUCUCCGAUAGGCAAGUUCGCUUGUCCCUCUCCAGGGGAUCCAUGAUAUAGCAGUCAGCUUUACGAUCCUAGGUAGGACUCACACUUUCUUUUCACAACCACUUGUGUUUUUUCUCUUAUGAGGUAAAUAACCCAUCUGGCUUGUCAAAGAAGCAAACAAUCCUAGCUAUAUCUGUUGCCGCCUUUUCGUGUGGUGAAAUGACUGUCCUUUCUUUUAUUAACACUGACUCGAUUCAAACAAGCUUUUCUUUUUUCAAUGGGAAUCUCUUGCUUUCACUCGCGAAAAAGAAAAUGGCCUGCAAUCCACAUGGAACUACACUACAACUGGAUGGAAAAGGGAUGCCAGAAAAGAGACAAUCUCACUUGUAAAUAAAAGGCGAAAAAGCUGGCUUUAUCACGUGCUUGCUACUAGCUCGGCUGACCCAUUCUAAUGAAUUGAAAACAAAAAGAGAAAGAUUAACGAGCUCCGGGUUACACAAGUAAAAAAGGAGAUUAGGACUUUCUGACUUAAGAGUUAGAGAUUAGAUUACCAAUAGAGAAAGAACUAGGUAGAUACCAAUAGAGCUCCCAUGACCGAUAACUGAAAAUAGUAUAAGACAUGAAACUGUACUAAUAGUUGAAAAUAGUAUAAGACAUGAAACUGUACUAAUAGUGAGAUUACUGGAAUUGCUACACACAAGCAACCGACCCGCACUCUCCUCUCCCUGGCGCUACUGAGUCAAACAAGAAACCUUGACUUCCCUCUAGGUAGUAAACGUGGUGCUGUGCUUUCUUGCUGCCUUUGUCUAGGGUUGUAUGGUGCUGUGCUCUUCCUUGCUGCCUUUGUCUAGGGUUGUACACCUUCUGAUUCUUGACUUGCUGAAUGAGGCAACUAUACAUACCUCUGGCAACAGCCAAGCGUAUACUAAUGUUGCGCGGAGGAAGUCGGGGGAGCAAUUACAUGUAGUUUGAUACCCUGUAGUGUUAGUCAGCUUCUACGGGGUGCGUUAGUUAAGUGAGUUCCUGUCUUCAUUGGCUAACUAUAGUAUUGAAGCAAUGCUCCGUGUUGUUAAUCUCUUCUAUGUGUGCUGCAACUACUUCAUUCUUUUAUUGUCCUGUUGCUUGGCGGCUUGGCUGGCGCUAUGUGCUCGUGGAAAGACGUAUAGGAUCAAGAGUUCAAAGAGACUGGACUGUUCGAGUAUGACCAAGUCCUGUGUUGGGGGAACCCAAUAAAUACAUUGCUCGAUGCUUGGCUUUCCGUACGAGAUGGAUUCUUGGCAUAGGGAGCUGGUAACCAGACAGCUUUCUUUUUCUUCGGAUCUUGUGGUUGAUCGUGAAAUUCUCCAUUAUGUAUUUCGAGUGGAAUUCGCGCUUAAACCCUAAACAUACCUUUCUUAUGGAAAUUAUUACUGAAUGGAAAGGACUGUUUUCGCCGAGUUGCAUUCCGCUCUUGGAAUGGAAUUCUUUGUUGGCCUGGUGCACGCUAAUUAGAAGAGAAGGUAUACCCCUAAGAAGGAAGUAAAGCACCUAUUACAGCUGGCUCUGCUCCAUCAGUUGACUCUAAUGCUCCAUCCUGGCACUCUUAUCCUAAUUAUGAGACGAAUCUAGCCCAUGACCCAAAUCUGGAAACUAGAACGUAACUUUCAACUCGUAACUCCGUUAGCGCAGAAGAUCUUAGAACUCCCUCCUUACGUGCCGAGUCAAUAAAGACAGAUGAAACUAAGGAUUACUUUAGCUACGAACCUAGACUUUAUUAUAUAAUGACUUUGAAACUCACUCCUACUGUUCAAUCCGGUGUGAAAGCCAACAACUACGAUGGGAGAUAUGAGUGAAACUAGUAGAUGUAUUGGAUUUGAGCGCCGUGCCGCUUACGCUCAUACAAAGUCAAAGUAGUAGAGUGGAGGUGAAAGAAUAGGAGUAUACUAAAUACGAAGAGGCUCAAGCUGGAUCUGGGGAAGAAUCGGUAUAAAUAGAAUCCUACAAUAACCUCUCUCGACAAGGAGCUAGAGCACCGAACAAGCUAUAGUGGGGAGUUCUUAUAAGUUCAAUAUUCUUGUUUGCGAGAAAAGUCAGAAUCAUCCAAGUAAGUAUAGGACUACAAAUUGAUGAGUAUUUCGAAAACAACUCUAAACUAAGGUUGACUCAGGGCUAAAGGAAAGGGAGGCGUUAACGCGAGUUCUCUCACUUACUGCCCGGUCCAACUCUAUCACUUACUGCCUCGACGUAAUAAAUAGAGAUUCCAUUCCAGUUUUCUCGGGGUUAAUUACUUGUUUUCCUUUUCUCGGGGUAUAGACCCACGUAGCUGUAAUAAUCAUAAUUGGAUUUAUCUGCGUUAACGAGAGCAAGAGGCGCGAGGCAAGGAGAGAGAUUCAAUGGGGUGUGGCCAAAAAACCACUGGAUUUACUCUGGGUAACUAACUAACGUGAGCGGAUUAAUCACUUGCACUCAAUUCUUUGUCAGUUCAAUACAAAAUCAAAGGGAAUCAGGUAUCUUUACAUAAGAUUCUCCACGUUGGCUCUUUCUUAUCUGGAUUCCAUUCUGUUAUGCGGGAAAGUCACCUAAGCGAAAAUAGUCAAUUAACUAACGAAACUCCAAAGCUAAGAUUAGAACCUGAAAACUCACCCCAAUUACGUUAACCCCGAAACUGCAGCUGUAACUCGCUUUCGCGCACUAGUACCAUCUGAUGCUUCUUUCUCUUGCUCCCUUCUUUCAAAACGGAUUAAUCUCCUUCUUUUUCUCUGGAAACUGACUCUAUACUUUUAUCUGGAACUCGUAUUGAAACUUCCCUGACCGCUUUACCUUAUCUCUCUUAUUCUCUCACAGACAAAGCUCGAACUGGAAAUCAACCUACUUCAUUACGCCGUCGAGUAAGGUACUUCAGUACGCCGUCUAGGAAGGGUGGGCUUGUCUUGUGUUUAGCAAUGCUAGUUUAGAUGGAAGUUCUUUCUUAAAGGUAUACAUCUAGUACAUUGGGUAGUCAAUUCCAUUGUUAUAGUCAAAGUAAGUAAACUCUAUUCUUAAAGGAAAGAUCACGCCGGGUUGGCUUAAAUAUAAGAUCACUCGGGUUGGGCAAGGUCGAAGAGAAAGGCCUAAUUAAGUAGCCAAAGUCGACAACUGAAGAAUCCGCCAAAGAUGGAGCAGGUGAGUAAAAGUAUCCAGUUCCAGAAGCAUAUAUAUAAGUGGCACCCCCUUAUAUACAAGUUUCAACAACUCUUAUGGCAAAUUACUCAUUUACCUUUCCGUUAGUGCCGAGGAAAACGGAUUAGCUAUAAGCUCUGGUUCAUCUAGGUUAAACAACGAGAAAAGAAAGAUUAAGUGACAGCCAACACCGAGUGGAGUAGUUUGUUUCAUUAUAUAAGCGGGAGGACGUUGCGAGUCUAGCCCAAACUCCGUUUCAAGAUCAAAAUAUAGAUCAGAUGUCUGAGAUAGUACUAGCUUUGAUACAGAACCGAAGAAGAGAAGUAUAAGAAGCCUGAUUAGUAUCAGCUGUUACUGAGGCCUGUGUUCAUAGCCAUAGUCCAAAAUGCAAUUCCAUUCUUAUGUCCCAAGUCCAAGUAAGGGAGGCUAAAGUGGUAUAUGCUUGUCAGCUGCUGACUUAGCGUUUGCUGGUUCUUUUGCCGAUCUCUGAUACUUAGCUCGCCUUAGAAACAAGCACUUAAACCUAUGAUUCUAUCGUAGACAACACUAAAAGCCCUUUUUCUUCAGUCUGAAGUUUGGCCUUCCGCUUUAUCCUUUUUUUGUUUAGUUCUGGUUUGUGGAGUGAUUGUUUCAUCAUAUAAAGAAGAUAUCCUUUUUGAUGCUUAGGAAGGUGGUCAGCUGCUGUGAUAGUUUAGUUCGUGGCAGAAGAAAGUACUGGUUAAGGGUAUACGAGUGAGAGUGUUUUAAGUCUAGAAUCCAAGUUUGAUUGUAAUAAGAGUAAGAGAAAGAAGACUGUCCUGGUAGACUCUAAGCUAAAGGAGUUACUGCCUCGGCGCAAGAAGACUUACCAGACUAAUAAUGAACUUCAGACUCACAUAAGUAUUACCAGGCCCAACAAAAACGCCCGCAAGGAAAGAUAAGAAUCAGAUAAUCAUAAGGGUUGUAUGUAUUAAGAAUCUUAUAAUAAGGGUCUAUUGUAUAGAUCCACGGAGUGGUAAUUAGAGAUAGAUGAGUAAGAGGCUAAGGCUAUAGUAGGGUCAGCGGUAAGCAGUUAGAGAAUCCUAGUCAGCUGUGCCAGUUCAAGUUCUAGGAUCAUCAGCUGUAAACGGUCCUGUGAGAGUGCACUAAUAGGUAUGAGUUAAAGAAUAGAACGGCGUAGCCAGAGGAGAGGAACUCUUGAUUUGUUUACAGAGCCAGAGGUCGCAUAGAAGUUCUCCGAGAUGAGCCUGAGUUAGCUGAGCCGGGAGUUCUUGUUUCAAGUAAGAGAGAGACAACCUCAGAAGUAGGAAUGACAGAAUUAGUUUACAGAGCUAGAGGUGAAGUCGAACCAUCAAGAUGUUAGGAAGAAAUGCACUUAUACCACCGAUACGUCUAUUUCAUAGGUCCAUUUCCCAUCCAACUACUGAACUUAUGUUUUAGUUCCUUUUAUGGCCGACAAGUCACUACUACAAAACCAUAGCAAUGAAUAAAUGUAUUAUAACUCGUUAUGAGCAAGUCCUAAUUAAUAGCGUCAGGCGCGGGGCUUGCCUGUCCUGUGCACUUAAAUAAUGGGGGUAAUAUGAGUUCCAUUAGAACUUUAACCACUGAGUUGCCCUAGAUGCUGUCCUAGUAACUUCAUAACGAGUAACUCACUUCAUAACUAGUAACUUCCUUCCGAGCCUAGUAACUUCAUUGAACAACUACCCUCAAACUACCCGAGUAAGUAAACAAAACACACUACCCCGAGCCUAGUCACUUCAUGAAACAAUCAAUACAGAAUACAGCUGGAAACUACUCACUUAACUUAAUUCGGCUCCUAUAACUUCAUUCUUAAUAAACCACAUAGCAAGUAGUCAACUGGUUCUCUUGCCCUACUCAAUUCUUUUCUCUUGGUCCCACUGAUUGGUAGUCCUUUCCUUGAUACUUUAACCCUAGCAUAAGAAGUAGGAGCUCACACUGCUUAUUCUGAUUCUCGAGUCUACUUAGCUCUAACUGUAGCUUCAGAUACUGAAACUUUCUUUGGGUGCUUCCUUUGCUAUAAGUGCUGAAACUUCAUAAUGUGAGUUCCCCUCCACGCCUAGCUUACUAUUACUGGCCUGUAUGCCCUAAGUUCAUGAGUGAAAUCUAUUACUGGGCCCUAAGUGAAUGAGUGAAAUGCAUGUUUGUUGUCGACUCUAAAUCUGGUGUUACAAAAGAAGCAAGAGAAGGAGUUAUAGGUCAAACGACAGAACAAGCAAGUGCGCUAGUUAUUGAGUUGAAUCGUCAAAAGAAUAAGGAGAAGUUUCAAGAGAAAAUGCUUGAUCAAGAUCUUAAUAAGGGUUUUAGGCUUUCAUACCAUCUUUCCUGAAGUGUAUUGAGUACUUUUGAGUCCUUUCGGUAGAUAGGAUUAAGAAAGUAGUGGUCUUGCUCUAGUUCUCAGAUCUUCAGCGGGAAGUGGAAGUAGCAGCCCUGCCGCUCCAAUGUAUCCGUGUUUUUAAUGAGAUGGACCAUCUAACUACAGACUAACUACAGAAGUUGUGAAAUAGUUGAUUGACGCCUAUUCACUUGAAACCCUAGCUAAUACGGAGCAAGAAUUGACCUAUCUCUUGCAAACCUCCAUUUGAAUGAAAACAGUGUGCUAAAGUUGUUACCGAGUCCGCCAAGCUACCCCUUAUAGUACUGCAGAAUGGAUGUUAGAGGUUAGGGAGCCAUAGUCUUGCUUAUGUUAUGCUACAGAUCCACCUAUUCCUAUUUAUCCCAGUGAAUAAACAUAAUCAUUUGCCAUAGUCGAGGUAUACCGAAUGAAGGAGCAAAUAGUUAAGUGGCACUAGCGUCAGUAAGUUAGAAGAAUGGAAUGGAAUUGCAGCGGUUUCCAGAUCAUCAACAAGUAUAGUAAGGGCGCCCGGAUCUUAAACAAAAGUAAGUAAGUAGAUGUAUCCUUAACGGAGGUAGGGAAUUACUAUAACCACUAUUCAGCAUUCCAGUAGUUAAUGUCAGAAUGAAACUAAGCUGCAGGCAACUCUGAUAUUAGAAUGAAACCACUACUCACUGGUCUUCAACUCGCUCGUCCAAGAAUUCCACUCAUAUUACUAAUUCUUACCUUGCCCCCCGAUUGCCCGCAUCUAGGUACUCAAAGUACUCUGGUCUAGGGUGACUGUUUCUGAUCCUAACUAUGAAAAUACUGCAACAAGCAACUCGCCAACACUAGAAACUCUCUCGUACGACUUCAGGUCAAUAAAAGCACUAUCCUUUCCUUUAGCACUUGGUAACUUGGUAUAUAUAAUAUAGUAAAGACGUAGGUAGCUUCCAAGAAUAUAGAGCUGGAUCAGAUGAGUAAGCUGUGAGAGUGGAAUACAGAGUUGAAGUUCUGUAAGUGUAAUCCUAUAAUAAGAUCAUAGAUAAGAAAUAGCCUACUAAAGUCAGAGGGAAUGCAACUCAUAAGUCAGAAUUUACCUAUAGUUUCGGACUUAUUCAGCGUUAUAGGUAUAUUAGAAAGUCAGGGGGGUAUAUCAAGUCUGGGGUGGGGCAUACUAUCUUACGAGCGAGGUGUCCUGAACAAGACUCAUUAGCUGAAGGGAUGUAAUAGAAUCCGUAACUUACCCUAAACUCUGAAGUUCGAAUUGAGAAUUGUCCCCUUGUGAACGAACACAGCACUCUAUGAGCUUCUCCCCCUUUGCUUCAAAACUUCUGACUGCUGGCUCUGGCUCUGCUUCCUCGCCUCUUGCUCCUCUCCUUACACUCGCUUCUUGCUCCUCUCCUUACAGGCAUGCUUAGCGGGGGAGUUUUUAGUACGAGUCAAAGAAUGCAACUAAUAAAAGUAAGGUGGAGUUCGGCUAUAAGUAAGGUAUAGUUCGGUGCUCUAUAGUUUCAUCCCGAGUUUCAUCAGUUCUCCUAUAUGAAGUUCCAGUGGGUUUCCCAUACUUAGUUGGUAUAUGAGAAAUUGCACUUCUUUUUCUUUGAUUGUUUGAUGGUUUCUUUAGACCGGAUCUUUCUUCUUCUCUUGCUAAUCUAACUCAAUAAACUGCCGCUACACACGAACACAGGACUUGUUUAUAACUUGUAAUAUCUAUUAUUGCUGCUGCCGCGCAGCUUUAAACUCGCUGCCGCGACACCGAACACAGGACUUGUUUCUAACUACGCUAUAACUACUUAUUUGUCCUACUGCCGCACAACGGCUUGCGCCGUUGCUUGUCUAUCCGUGUCUUGGCGCGCCGUUGCUUGGCCCUUGGCCUUUUCUCCUACUAUAUUAUAUAUUAUCUUUAUUAAGGAAAUAGGAUUCCACAGCUAAUCUCUCUCCUAUGUCUACUAAUACUGUUAGGGCUCAUCUAACUUACUAAUACAAUUAUUGCUCAUCUAACUCUGUCCUUGCCGAGAUACCCGCUUGCAGCCUCUCCUUACUUACCUAGCUCUAGCUGAAGCCUGUUCUUUGUCUCUUGGUGCCAUGCCUAGGUCUCGUCUCCACUGUCAUUCCUUAGCCACAGUCCAUAUGGUCAACUCAUGUAAGCCAACUAUCAGCCAUACAACAAUCUGCGCAAGAGCACAAGUAAUCAAGUGAAAAGAAAAGGACUAGGAACAAUAAGUAUAGUUCCAUAAGCGGAAUCUUCAGUUACAUCGAGGAAGCAUCUCCUGGGAAAGAUUGGAUUGGCAUUCAACUAAACUGCUUUUCCGGGUCCGGAAGGGAAAGGUUUGUUCCCAGCUAUACAUAAAGGGAAUUGAUUGGUCUUGAAGAGUGGAAAUCUCCGAUGGAAGCCAAGCCUCUCCUGGGCGGGCCUAGCCCUCUCUCUAUAUCGCCCCGGAUGGAAUGUGAAUGGGAUUCUGCCUGAAACGAAUCAAAUCAAUAGGAAUGAAUAUUAGUUGUAGAUUGAAAGGAAUGAAUAACCGUUUGUGAGAUUGAAAGGAAUGAAUAUUAGUUGUAGAUUGAAUCAACAUCAAUAGACCCCCCGUCCCGUGAAAGCUUUUCUAGGAAUGGAUUUAGUGAUCUAGCCUGUGCUCGCAUUGUGUAGAGGAGUCUAUCUCUUAUCGGGAAAGCACUUUUUGUUAGGUUCUUUCUUUUUACCGAGUAUAUAAUAAGAAGAGACGGUCUUGAACUAAACUCAAACUUCACUCGGACCAGGUUGACUUGCUCAUAAUAUAGUAAUAGAACUAAACUAGUAGACUUACCUAAACUCUGAUAUCCUAGACCUCUGGCUCAUCUAAACUAGCUGGUAGUAGUGGCGUGUCCCCUUGCCGACCUAGACCUUACUUUAGAACCUGGACUACCCGGUGGAAUUCUCACUAGCACUAGCACCCGACCCUAACUCGUAUACAAGGGGAAAGCUCGACCCUAACUCUCCUCUGGCAACUAGCUAAUCUCUAUCCCAACAUAAAUCUAGGGGCAACUCGGGAUUACUUGAUCACUGCCUCUCCUAUGAUCCUGAUACUGGAAAUUCUCUACUCCAAGCAUGGUCUCGAACCUACUUCUUCUCUUACCUAGGGCAACAAUACCUCUGCCUCUGACUCAGCCUUAGCUAAUAAUUGAAUGCUUGGACUAGACCACUCCACUUCUUCCCCUUAGCAGCUUCAGUCCCAUACUAGUAAUACAGAGCAUAAGGCUGUGACUCCUUAGCUCCAUUCCAAGUAGGAGUAGCUCAAUUCUAUCCCCCAGCAGGGCCCCAACACAGCACUUGGUUCACUAGUAUCAGGCUUGGGAACAGUGGUUGCAUUCUGAUAGUAGUUAGCUCCAUUCUCAAUACCACUAGCAUCGGACUUAGCAGGCGCUGUUCCAUUCUCAUACUGCCUGGGUAAAGCCUGUAACUCGAACCGGAUAGCCACCAAGCAACUACGUACGAAUUAUACUACUUAUCAACUCAUUCAUAAUCUAUACUUAGCUACAUUAGCUGCAUUGCUUCCAAGACUAUUUCAUUGGAACAACAAGUCAUUUCAUUAGCUGUAUCAAAGCCAGUACAGUACUUUCUUCUCUUCUUUCUUCCUUUGUAAACCUCUGAUCGCCCUUAUACAUACUUCGAAAGAAACAAGUAAACUCUCUCUUCUUAUUUCAAAGAAUUAGUCAGUAAUUCCUAAUAGAAUUAAUAUAGUUUUGUGUUAAUAGCCUAAUAGUAAGAUAGAUAGUUACCGAUUGCCCAAGCCCCCCUUCGUAGAGAAUUUCACUCCUUUAUGGAAUAUUAUGCUUCCUCAAACAUCUAUACCGGUUCAGAUCCUUUGCCAACAACUGGAUACUUUCCUUAACUUGACUCUCUUAUUGCCCCACCUCAUAUAUAAUGUGAGCUUGCCCCACCUAUCCAUCUCUGAAUGGUUUCUUUUGCCCCACCUAUCCAUCUCUGAAUGGUUUCUUAAAAAACGCACGGGAGGUUCGCGCAUCAGUCAACGACCAAAGACGCGGUUGCUGGGCCAGAGCACACAUGGUUACUAAAAGAAUGAGUGGGCCCACAGUGGCUAACAGAAAUCAUUACCGGGGCGCGGUACCAUCAUUGCAUAUGCGAUGGACCACCUCGUUGUUCGCAGUUUCUACCAUUGGAUGUCCUCCCUUUCUUUCUACCAUUAUUCAUCCGGUUUUUUCAUAGCUAAUUUCUCAUAUCUCCUCUGAUCUUGGAUACUUUCCUUGAACUGAACCUUUCCACUCAUAAUAGAAAAACAAUCAAAUCACAAAUGAUCAAAUCACAAAUAAUAUAGAGCCAAGCAACUACUAGACGCCAAGCAACUACGGAAGUAGUUGUGCGGCAGUAACAACAAUAGGGCCAAGCAACUACUAAUGUUGCGCGGCAGGGCCGCUAGAGUUCCCCAGUUAUUACUAGUUAUGUGUUCGACCAAGCAACUACUAAUGACCAAGCAACGGGACAAACAACUGCUAAUGUUGUGCGUCAGCAAUAGUCAGAAGUCAUAACGAAGUUAUUACAGUAUCUGUGCUCGGACGUUGUGCGGUAGGAGCCUGAGCUAAACGGUAGCGAGUUAAAAGAGCGUCAGCGAGCUGAAAAGCGGCAGCAAGUAAUAGUUAUGUAAAAGUUAUUACAAUAGAUGCUUUCGGGAGUCUGAGUGAAAACGGUAGCGAGUUAGGCCUCGCUUUCUUUCUUUAACUAAUGCCUAUGAGCCUGACCCAAAACCUUGCUUUGCUGUGUCUUUGCCUUUGCCCACUUGCUUUCAAACUGACACCGCUCCACUUCAUCAUGUAUUGGUAGGGGUCGUUUUAGGGCUAGACCUUGAAGUUUGGAAGUCCUAUUUGAUAUUAGUAGGAAAACAUACUAUCAAUAGAAACCAUAUUAUCAUAAGUCAAUAAACUAAGUCAGAAGUAAAGACAGCAAUGUCCGUUUUAUACAAUAGAAUAGUCAUUAGGUGUUCGGUGUUGAAGCCCUAUAGGCAGGAAAGUCAGCCCCGUCAGUAGUAGCGAGAUUCCUUAUUUCUAGAUUGAUUCUUUUACAGAUUAGCUCAAUAUUUUAUUCCCUGUUGAUAACUUACUGGUGCAUAACAUUAUUCAGUGGAGAACCCAAUUCUGAAAUGUAUAUUCUGCAAUUCCACUAUCCACAACCGACGUAAACAAUAGUAAAAACGAGAGUCCAGCUACUACUGACAAUAAUGCAAAUACUCACUAUGAACCCACCCUUGCUUAGUUUCAGGCUUAACCUAAUAGCUUCAAUUAUAUGACUACUCACUAUAGGUCUCCCAUUCCCUUCCCUUCUUUCACUCUUAAAUGCAUUGCCUUAAUACUUUAUUGCACCUUUGCUUCUUCUAUAACUAACUAUAGGCCUGCUACUUGACUUGUAGUCUGUAGUUACUUGCUUUGAAGCUGACACACUGCCCUUUAUCUCAAUACAUAUCUACUGCUCCGUAUUACGCAACUGACCUAAAUGAAAGAGUGCGAGCGGUAGUCCACCACCCCUUUCUGUGAUUCUUGGUUUCGCCCCUAUAACCUUCCAUGCGUGACAAACCCCUAUGGAUUGAAACCCUAGUAUGGCACACCCUAGUAUAAUAAAGCAAAGGGCGACACAGAGGUAUUUCUUGUCUUGGUCUAGUCGAAACUUAGGACGUAGUGGAUCAUUCACCAUCACCAUCGUGUACGUGCAUCGUGGAUGCGAUCAACGUUCAUGCAUCACAAGUACCUCGACCAUGAAACCGUUCUUCAAGUUCAACCUUUGAGGAGCAUCGCACAGUCUAUGAGCUGCCGGGGACUAAUUCCUUUAGCUGCGUUGGACUCAUUCUUUUAGCGGCGUUCUCCGUGGAUCAUCUCUUAUUCAUAGUAGGACCAUCGUUCAUGGAGGACAUCAUAGUAGGACCGUCGUUCAUUCAUCGCGAACGGCCUAGGCAAGGGAAUCAUUAUGAAAGUCACUUCACCUAUUCUGCGAACGAUCAUCGGACCCGGACCCCGAGGCACAAUUCCAUCAUUCAUUCAUAGGUAGGUCGUCCACACACUCGUUCUUUGCUCUGGUCCAGCAACUACGUCUUCGUUCGUUCGUUCAUCGAUGGUCCCGGGGCAUAUAAAGUACUUCGCUCGUUCAUGCAUCUUGGGUGCGAUCAACGUUAACAAAUGUUUGUUCGGGAACUGCUAAAGUUAAUAAGAAUAAUGGGUGUGUUGUCGAUUCAAGAGAUGGAUCAGGGGGCCUAAGAUCAUAGGUUUUGUAGUUGAAAGCCGGUGUUCAAGCCAACAACUCUACCUGGGAACUUUUCCUCUGUAUAGUAGCAAAUAGCCUGCCUUUUUUCUAUGAUUGAUAUACCAAUAAGAAUAGAGGGCCCGCACUACGUCCAUGAUUGAUAGAAUCACUACACUAGUAUUUUGGGGUCCAUCCCACCUAUACAAACAUAGAGAAAACAUAUAGAAAAGAGAAAACAAAACAUAUAGAAAAGAGAAAACAUAUAGGAAAUGGAAAUAGAAGAGACCUUUUUUCUAAUACAUUUCCUUCAUAGAAUAGGGGAGAAUAUUAUAUACAUGAACUGAAUCAUCAAUAUGAGAUGAGGUAAUGGUAAUGCCAGGCCCAACUACAAGGAUUAGACCAGGGAAUGUAAGGCAGUUGACCUAAAGCGAGAGCCAGGAAAGCAAUACUUUUGUUACGGCGCAAGGGGCUGGGUUUCUAGCUUAGGUGUUUCGUUCUUGAUUCUGAUUUUCAUUGGCGUAGUUCAGUAGCGCACGUAGUAGUAAUGAGUGACGCAAUACAUAGGAAGAGGGACGGACAGUUCCGACUGAGACUGAAAGGAACACGGGGAAGGCAGAGUAGGCUAACAAUCACAUAAAUAGGAUCCCCGGAUCAGUAGUUCGAUUACCGGUUAUGAGUUAAAGUCCCAUUGACAGUGGUUUCAUUCAAGUAGUCGUAAGUUAGAGUCUUGUUAACGAUGGUUUGAUCCCUUAGGGAAUACAUAUGUUAGAUCAGUAGGGGCGGAGUGAAAACAAGUAAGGACAAGCUCAUAGCAAGUAAAGCAAUACCUUAUACCGAGGUAGGUGUGUGGACCUCUAAGGCAUUAGUUGAAGGACCCGGAUCAGUGUUUAGAGAGUUAGAUCGAGGGGCGGGGGACUGAUAAAACGAAACACAGUUAUGGGCUUGGGAAGCUAGUGAGUUAGGCUUGAAGAAAGGACAUUGAGAUCGGUAGCGGCGGACUAAAAGCAGUAGUCGAUGCUAGUUUAGAUGGGGCUUGUUUAUGCCUGCCUAUACGAACCACAAAGAUAAGCCCUCUCUCCCCGCUAUCAAGUUCUGUAUUCGGGCCUGCUUAUCUUAUACCCGGACUUCAUUCUGACUUUCCGUAUUGAUAGAAAGAGAACUCCUCUGCGUGCGCCCUCUGAAAGCUACAAAUAACACAAUUUCAAGCAGGUUUUCUCUCUUCCUAGCAAUUACUCAUUGAAAACUAAUCAACUGUACUUAUAAGUCAUUUCUUCCUAACAUAUUUAUGGCAUUAAUUAAGGGGACAAGCUAGUUUAGUGUUUAGUAUAGAACUACUCGACUCGGUAAUCAACAGAGAAUCAAUGAUUUGUGUUCCCCAAGAGAGUAAGCAGUAUGGAAAGGUGUGCGAGCAGAGCAAGCAACGGGUAGAUCGAAGUAAUAAGCUUCUUCCAUAGCUUUUUCAUAGAAUAAUCUUUCACUGGUUGGAUUUUUCCUUUAGCUGUUUUUCCAAGUGUGUAGUAACUAACAACAAGAUAAUCUUAUUCAAGUGGAGAGUAAGGAUCAGGUCCAGGUCCAACAGAAGAAGUUGUGCAAGUUGACGAAAACAGGACUUUCCGUUAUUAACCCAACACUACUUACUCUCGGAGAACAAGUGGUUCAGGUGAGGAAACACGCUCUGAAGCUACUGAAGAUGCAGUGUAUUUACUGAUUGAUGUCUAUACCAGGGCCAAUCAACUACUAACGGACAAAGAGAGGAGACAAGCAUACAGACAGAAGGUAUGGGAGAGUCUCCAGUAUAACCCAUGUGUUCAGUAAGAAACCCAAUAGGAUUUAGCUAUAAGGGUAAGAACAAGAGUGCUGAGCUGGGUAUGCACGAAUAAUCGAAUAAUCUAAUAAAUAGCCUACUAUAAAGGUAAGAACCAGUUGAUCUAAUUGUCUUUCAUAAGGAUCGAAAGCAUAAACAAGAAAAAGAUCUGAGUACUGAUAAGGAUCUUCAGAAGUCAAGUGUCCCAGGGUAGGGAAUAGGAAUGCGCUAUCUCUAUCCCAAAGAGCCAAGUAACUCCUAAUGACCAAGCCACUACUACAAAGGCAACCGAGCCAAGCAACGACUACUGUUGCGCGGUAGGAGCCUGAGUGAAACGGCAGAGCCGCUUAAGUUCCCAGUCAUAACGAAGUUAUUACAAUAUAUGUUUUCGAGGUAUAACGAAGUUAUUACGAUCUAUGCUUUCGGUGCGGUAGCCAUUAAGAGAUAUUACAAAUCAUAACCGCCAAGACACUGCUAAUGUGUCGCGGAGGAGCUUCAACUGUUUUUGGGAGCCUUGUUUCCGGGAUUUUGGAUAGCAAUUCCAGACUUCAGUACCUGAUGAGGCUAGUUCAAUUCAUUACUUCAGUACUUAUAGUCAGCAGUGUACUUAAUAAUAGGGCAGAAGGAGAGGCUAGCUUUGACUACUAUAAGGGGCAAGAACAAGAGCUGGACGACUAUCUUAUUCCCCGACCUAAACUAUCACUGCAGUUUCUCCGGAUUCCGCUUCUCAUCUUACUGCAAUACAUGAACAAACCUAUCGACUACACCACCGCUUGUUGAUGCUUACUUUCUAUCUUAUGCUUUUGAUUAAGUAAGCGCAUUAGGAGCUGCUCCACCUAUUACUGUGGCAUCUGCUCUAACAACAUACUUUGGAACAGCAUCUUCUCUUCAUCAAUAGGAUGGAUCUUGAACUGGGCGAACAGAACAAGUAGUGGCUUGCCUUGCUUUGAAGCGCUAAGUGAAUAAGUUUCAUCAGUGUUAGUUGGCUACGGGAGAGGAGUUGGCUGGCGCUUGCUUGACUGUCUACACAACGAGGGAAGAAUCAAGAUCAUGCAGCAGAUAUAGGAUCUUAAUACGGAGAUGUCAAGUCUCGUUUUACAAGAUCAUCAGCAGUUCAAAAGGUCAGGUCAACAGCUAGAUCAGUCUCAUAAUAAGGAUCUGGAUCCGAGGCUGGGCAAGGAAAAUCUACUUGUUCAGGUAAAGAAUAAGGAGAAGGCCCGGAAUCCGCAGUAUCGAAUCAGUCAGCUGCCCGCGGUUCCUAAAGUAUAGAAUAAGAAUCCGUUCUAAAGUCAGGAGAAUGGCCAGUUCGAAAGUCAAGUUAGGGUGUUGAAGAAGUCGGAAAGCCCUAUUAAGUAAGUCGGAAUACAGAUGCGGAAUGAACUGUUCUUGUUAAGUCGGUUCUACAAGAUUAGUUCUUGGCUUGACCUUUGUUAGUGCUUCUGUAAUUGUAAUAGGCUUGACCUUUGUUAUGUUACUAGUAGUUGCUCUACUGCUUGGCGAGUUGAAUACGUUUGUUGUUGACCAGAGUAAGAAAUUGAUGUUUGAGUUGAAAGAUAAGAAUCAAGAUAAGGAGAAGAUCCUAUCCAACUGAAUAAGUCUUGUUCACCAGCCUGGGUACUAUAGAAUCUCAGGUAACCUCCCAUGCGCUCUAAACGAGAAAGUCAGAAUGGAACUAAACUCACCGGACUAACGCGAGUGACACUUGGUCUCCGGACUCCUUACUCUGAGGCAGAACAGAGGCACCACAACGAAAUCACUGUUGCCAAUACUGACUCCCUUGCCAAUACUGACUCCCUCCCUUGCCCAAUACGGAAAAGAAGAUCAUAUAGCUAGAAACUACUUGCCCAAUACGGAAAAGAAGAUCAUAUAGCUAGAAACUACUUGCCCAAUACGGAAAAGAAGAUCAUAUAGUUAGAAACUACUUGCCCAUACGGAAUUUCAAUGACUCACUGCUAAUACUGCUAAUAGAAUAGUAGAGUAACCUAACCCUCACUACGCUAACCCUUGCGUCUUCUUCCCUUGCGAGUACUGCUUUCGGUGUUCUAAGCAAUAGAUCAGCUUAUGAUCCAGCUCUUUCUGUAUCUGUAGACUAAAUCAUCUGUGAUCCUGUUCUUUCUGUAUCCUUAGGCGAAUUCAAUAGGCAUUUCCUACUCAAGUUCCUGUUCUUAUUGAAGUUGCAAGUCAAGCCCUUAUGUUAAUGGUCUGUUCCUGUGUUCGGGUAUUCAAGUUGUUAGUUUCAUGACUUAUCGUCACCAACACCGAACUCCCCCUCCCAACUGACCUUACCGAACGAUACCCAGAAUUAUGAUUUGUAAUUGAGAACUUCCCUCCCUUACUUGUAUUCUUUAGAUACUUACUUGGAUUCCUAAUAUGCUUGCUUUCACUCCGUAGUUUGAGUUAGAGCCUUGCUUUGCUGUAUAUCAUUCCGAUUCUCAGUAACCCUAUGCUUUCAUUAUCCUUAUUCACCCUGACUUUCUGGCUUUCUUGAUUUCCCGCUUACUUCACUUUAGCCUCUUAUGAUUAGUACGAUGAAGACCCCCGGCACCUCUUCUUCUUUCUAUAUAGGAUGAAACCCAAACUCCACUCUAAGACCCGCGGACAGCUAACACAGAUUCUUUUCUCGGAAACUCCACUCGAACAGAAAGAGACCUUGUCACCAAGAACUAUCAUUGCUGGUUCCCUUGCUUUAAUUAAGAUCUGGGUAGGUAUUUGUGUGUAUUAAGAAUGGAGUGUGCAACCGUAUAUAGGGUAAUAAAAGCACUCUAAAAGACAUCUUAUAGCUUCAGUCGUUAGGAGGUGCAACAAAGAAUUCAAUUGAUCCACCUCUUGCAGUUCCCGUUAGCACAUAAUGAGAUUGAACUGACCUCUGCUUUAUCGCUAUCUUUCUCGAGUAAUUCACCGUAUUUAUAGUACCUUCUUCACCCGCUUACCAAAACUUCAUUAUAUACUCCAGUACGGAUGCGUUUGCUGCUGACUUUCGUACAGGAAACUCUCCUUCUUCCGCUUCUACUUCUUAUUCCAACUAAUGUUAUUACUAGCUUUAGAUCCGUAUUCCCCUGUGUCUUCUGCUUGUACUGCUUUAGGUGUUCUAAGCUAUAUCUUGUUCUGUCUGAUCCUGCUCUUCAAACGGAUAUGUCACUUUAUACUGUACUUGUUGAAUGUAGGUGCACCUGUUUCAGUUAUAUGAGUAGUGUUGUAACCUUACUCUUCACUUAUGGAAUUCAAGAAAGUAAGCAAUAAGCAAGCAGGAAAGGGGAAUUCCGUUAUUGACCUGAAGUCGGUAUAGAAAGGGGUGAUUGGAAAAAGUCUACCAGAUCAGAAGCUUAUUAACUUAGCAGUCAAGAAAGUUGGGUUAGAAAUCAAGUAGAGUGAGGGUGCAAGUACCGUUGACAGUACAGUGUCAGUUCCAUUUCUUUCUGCUUCUGCGAGAGAUUCAAUGAAUUCUUAAGCUUGUUCGGUUCGAGUGGAAUCUGUUUGUCUUAGAGCACCUAACGCCGAAAACAUCACUUAUCAAAACUCGUAUUAGUUUAUCCCGUAUUAAUUUAGAUUAUUAUGUAGUGGUUCUUUAGUUGUUGUUUCCUAUUCUUCUGUAGUAGUUAUGUUGGGUUCAGUGCAGGUGCCUUACUUAAUGCGUGCUAUGUACUUAAGUGGAGUCUCUUUUACUUGUGUUCCCUUGGUUUAUGUAUUCCUCCUUUCUGGAUUCGAUACCAGUCGUGAUUCCCUACCCCCAUUAUCCCUUUCCUUUGCUUUAGGACUCCUCAACUCUCUU